GCCGCUAUUCAGUGACUGCAAAAAAUCAUGGUCCCAAAUUGAAGGUUGGUAGUUUGCUGAUCUCCUGUCAACUGUCAAAUUAUCAUAUUUGGCGCUGACAAGGCAUUGGACUGGCUUAUUUAUGGUAAUGAUUCUAGUGGCUGCUCGAUUUGUUGCAAGAGGAGGACAUUUGAAACCAUUUACAGAGGUAAACGAGGUUGAUGGAACAAUGCAAGAAGACAUUGGACAUACAGAUGUAGUGUAAGCUAGCUUACAGUUAUACUUGGCAAAAAUUCUCAAAUUAAUCUAUGGUUUGCGGUUAUGCACAAGGUUAUAUAUAUAUAUAUAUAUAUAGGCAGCGGAGAAGUGCAAGCGAUUUAUUUUUCUUAUUCAUUUUCCCUGAGAUUUUCAAAGCAUGUAAUUUGUAAGUCUUAGUUGGACAAAGAUAUUAUAUUCAUUAAAAAAAAAAAAGGAGUACAUCUUCCCUCUGUUGAGGGAAUUCUAACGUGCCAGCAAGUUCAAAUAUGUACAUUCGCUGGCAUGUUUUUUUUUUUUUUUCCUUAAAGGUAAGGGGGUGGGCAAGCCUAAAUACAGUUUUUACUCCCCUUAUCAUCCACAAAAAUAAACCCGAAUUUUGGUAGAGAUUACAGCUGCAAUGCAACCAACCCGACCACGCCCUUGAGGGGGCUGGCUUGUUGUAUAAUUGUUAUUUAUUUGUCAUUUUUUUUCGCUACAAAUUUUUUUAAAGAGUGUUUCUAUAAGCCAUAUAAUUAUAAUAAAUACACAUAUUAAUGACAAAAAAAAUUCAUAAAUUUAACUUUGCUUACAAAAGUCCUAUUUAUUACAUUAAAAACUUGUUUUACGUACUUACAUAAAAAUAAGAACACGCAAAGUUACAAAGAAUAUCUUAAUGUUAAUCAUUAAUACUCAAAAUAAUCAAAAUUAUAAAAGAAGAUAAAGACCUGUUUUAUUUAACAAAUCUAACUAAAACCUUAUUUGUUAUAGUUAUAAAGUACUUUUGAAAAAAAAAAUUAUAUAUUUCAAAAUAAUUACCAUCAAAAGAUAGAUUGGAUAGGAUAGAUAUGUCUCCCUCAUAUUAGUGAAAAUAGAUUUUUUAGCUCAUGCCUAAGGGCAUCUCGGUUGUACUACAAAUGUAUGUAUCUAAAUAAGGAUAAAUGCUCAUUUAGUCCCUAUAUUUUAAGAUUAGUAUCCAUAUAGUCUCAAAACAUCCCUGCCGUUAAAGUAUUGAUACCCCUACCAUUACUUUUUAUUUCUUUUGACUUGCUUUUACAAUAUUACCCUUUUAUAAUAAUUUUUUUGUGUGGACAUUAAUAAAAAAAUAGUAAUUAAAUUACAAAUUUAACCCUAGAAAAUUAAAAAAAUUAUAUUAAUUUUUUUGUAAGCUGCACACUUGGUAGUUUGUAUACAAUUUUUGACAAUUAAAAAUUAAUAUAAUUUUUUUUAUUUUUAGGGUUAAAUUGGUAAUUUAAUUAUUUUCUUUUUUAUUAAUGUCCAAACAAAAAUAUUAUUAUAAAAGGGUAAUAUUGUAAAAGUAAGCGAAAAAAAAUAAAAAGUAACGGUAGGGGUAUUAAUACUUUAAUGGUAGGGAUGUUUCGAGGUAUUUUUAAAAAUACAAGGACUAAAUGGAUACUAAUCUUAAAAUACAGGGACUAAAUGAGCUUUUACUCUCUAAAUAAUAUAUGUAUAGACUGUAAUAAAGGAAAAUGAGGAUUAACCCUAUCAUUUAGAUAAAUUAAGGGAAAUCCUUUCAUAUUUUAAAAUAGGUCCAAACACCCUACAAUUAUGACCGUAUUAGUUUUAUAUAUCAUUUUACUAUUCUAUCUCUAGUAUUGAUAUUAGUCAUAAAAUUUAAAUAUUUUGAAGAUAUUCUUUUAAGCAAAGUGACUUGUAUUUCCUUAACGAUUAAAUUAAUUUAAUAACAAAUUGCAAAUUAUGGAGAAAAAUUACAAGUAGGGGAAAUGACAUAAUUCCUACUAGUUGUAUAAAUGUGUCCUAAGUGUAUGAAGUCCAAGAUUCUAAAUAAAUCUCUGAAAACAUAAAAUAAAACAAUUGAAGGAAAUAUCCAAAUAUACAUUCAAAUAAAGGACAAAUAGAUAAUUGGACUAAAUGCAAUAAAUUCACCCAGACUACAAAUGAAUAAUAUAUGAUAAAUUAAAGAAAAGAAUCACUAUAGGAAAGGGAUAUAUAAGCAACUACUAACAAAACAAUAAAUUACACGUACUUGCAGCUAUUUGAUGAGAAAUAAUUAAUUAAGAGCAUUAAAUUAGCAUAAGCAAGUGAGCAAACAACAAUUACAAUGGCAACGGUAUGGCCUAGCCUAUGCUUCUCCAAUAAAACAACUGAUCGUGUGCCAGAUUAAGAAGCAAAUUAAAUAUAUCAAACUUGUUACAUUCAUUUAAACAAAUACUUUAUAUAAUUAUCAGGGGUAUAUAUGAUAUUUCCUCUACUUGUAAAUUGUAAUUUUUCUUCAUGUUUUUUAAUAGGUUAAUAAAUUUAUUUAAUUGUUGAGGAUAUAUAAGUCAUUUUGCUUAAAAAAUUCUCAAAAUAUCUAAAUUUUAUGACUAAUAUCGAUAGUAAAAAUAGAAUAGUAAAAUUAUAUAUAAAACUAACACCAUUAUAAUUGUAGUAGAUUUGAAUCUAUUAAAAAGUAAGGAGGGGUUUUGCUUAAUUUUCCUAGACAAAUAGAAGGUAAUCCUCAUUUUCACAUUGUAAUAAUUUCAAAAAAAAAAUCCAUUUAACAACGGUUAGUGAAAGUGCGUUCGAAUUUUUGCAGUAACUAAAAACAAGUCAGAAUUAUGUUAGGAUUAAUCCAUACAAAGAAAACAUCCCAAGUCCUCCGAAGUAAUAAGCAACACACACACACACACAAACACAUAUACACACAUAUAUAUAUAUAUAUUACAAUUUUUUUUUUUUGAUGCGAUAUAGAGUACAAUUUAAUAUUGGUUCAACUACAGAAAUUAAUUGUGCAAGUCAUAAAAAUUAAGAAUGAAGAAAAGGAAAUAUGAACUCAAACCAGAACGCCAAAUGUAGUCAUAUUUUUUCAUGAGGGAAUUCUAACGCGCCAAUGAAUGUGUUUAUAGUAAUCAACGAUGCCGAUAUUUGUUUAUAAUAGUAAUACAGUGAACAGAAACGUGCGGAAGCAUGUGUUUAAUAAUCAACGUUAUAUUUCCAUUUGAGUCAUAGAACACUGGAGAGACUUCCUGUAUAGCCUGACCUUACUAGAAUUUGCAAAUAAAAUGCGAAUGUAAAAUACCAAAACACGUGCGACUCUUCAUCAACAGCCUGUAAAAUACCACUAGAAGAGAUAUUUGCCCCAUUUCCUUGAGAUCAUCUGUCUCGAAACAAAAGAGACUUCAUUGACUUGUAGUCGAAAAUGACAAGAAGGGCAGAAGAGAAAUUUUAGAAAAUCUCUAAUAUACCAUAUCAAUUAUAUAAAAAGUAAAUAAUGAUAUAGUAUAUAUGCAUUUAUUUUAAAGAACAGACAUAUAAUUGGUAGUUAUAUAAAAUUUAAAUAUACAUUUUAUACAUAUAUUAAUUAAACUGAUUUAUGUAUUUUAGUUUAGAAUUUCUCACAACAAAGAACUAGCAUUCAUUUUUUUCUUCUUGGUUUUGCGGCAUCACACACUAUAGUGUAGCACAUGAACCAUAUGCGUAUGAAAAAUUAGACUAGUUGGUAUACGUAAUGUUAAGGAGUCAGAGCCUCUCCUUUUUGACACACUGAUAACAGAGUGCAACCGUGUGUAAUACACAAGCACAUGCGAAGUCAAAAUUAGACUAGUUGGUGUGGGGCUUGUUCAGGAAGCCUUUCUUUUUUUCACAAUAUGAAACAAAUUAUUAACCAUCAAAUCACAGUUUGAUAAGUCUCAUGAAAAAUGAAAAUAAUAUAAAUAAAUGUGACUAAUAUUUUUGUGUCUUUAUUAUCACGAGCCUUGUGGGCAAGGUCGGCUCAAUUAAUUGGGAGCUUUAAGGGAAUUGUUCAAUUAGACCUUUCAAAAAAUUUGAGGUUAAAUAUAUGUAUUAAUUUUACUAAAAAACUAUUUAUUAAAAUCAAAUUUUCUAGCUUUAGAUGUAAAAUUAUUAAUCAAAUUUUUAUAUUAUAAUUUCCUAAUAUAUUUUUCUUAGUAGACAUUAUGGCUAAUCCAUUUACUCUUUCUUGCGACAUUGUUAAUCUCAAAUAAGCUUUUAUCAAUUUUAAUUUUGAAAAACUUCUUUUUGCAUAAGCAACUGCUUGUAGUAUUGUUAAUAAUAUUCUAUAAGUAGCAUAUGCAUUUGGAAAAAAAAUCAAUUUUUUGAAAAUAAUUAAGUAUGUCAAGCGGGGUAAUUUUCCAACUGGUAAAACUUCUUUAAAAAUUCUUAACUCUAAAAACAAAUCUAAACCAUCUAUAUCAGAAAGCAUAUCAUGUUUGUAAAGCAUUUUCAAUAUUAACACAAUAAGUUUUUAAAACAUUGUCACUUAACGAUUGUAAUUUUUUGAAAUUAAACAAAAAUCCUAACAUAUUCUCAUACAUUUGAAAUUGUUCAAAUCUACUUAUUAUUGAAGAAAUAGUUUGAUCUAUUAUGUAUAUAAAAUAAUUAAUUCUGAAAGACUAUUCAAGAGAUAAAAUUCCUCCUUCACCGAUACUUUCAUCAAAAUUGUUUUUUCUACGAAUUAAAUGUUUUUCGUGAAUUUUAGGUUCUAUUUCCAUUUUGGUUGCAAUUUCUUUAGUUAAAAUCAUAAUAGGCACAAAAUCCAUUUUCUCUAUGGCUUUCAAAGAAAGAAAUAAAAACUUUAUGUCGAUCUAUGGCAAUAUAAAUAUGCAUAUGUUUUUUGCAAGAUCUUACAUAUAGAGUUAAUAGCAAAUAAUAUAUCAUACUAAAUAAUCACACCUAAUAUGAAAUUAAAAUUUUUCAAUUCAUAUGUUGCUAAACACAUAGCUUCACUCUUUAUUCUAGAAUCUUCACUAAUUUCUUCUAAUUCAAGUAAAGCAUCUCAUACUUUAUGGAGUUUGAAAUCUUAUUGCUUUCACACUUUCAAUACAACUUUCUCAAUGUAUGUGUCAAAAUAAUUUCACAGUCAAAUUGGGUAUAUUAUUUUGUGAGAUUUUCCAUCACCUCAUUGAAGAAGAAAAAUAAUGAAUAAAUAAGUUUCAUAGCUCCAAAAAAUGAAAUUGAUCUAGGACAAGAAUUAGCCAUGUUGCAAACCACUAAAUUUUGACCAUGACAACCGCUUGAUGUAUAAAAUGCUUUAGAAUUUGUUUAUAAUAUCUUACACCUUGGUGUUUUCCUUUCAUAUUAGAACCAUUAUUGUAUCCUUGUCCUUGUAUAUUAUCAAUGACAAGUUCAAAAAUUUUUAUUAGUUCUAUGAGUUCAUUAAAGAGCUCUUUACCAGUACAAUGGCAAACUUUUAAGAUUCGAAAAAAUAUUCUUCCAUUUCUACUGGAUUUGCUAAAUUAUCUACACAUCUUACUAUAGCAGACACUUGUUCUUGAUGGUUUGUAUCUGAAGUACAAUCAAGAAUAAUUGAAAAUUAUUUUUCUUCUUAUUUGUUAGGGAUUUUAUUAUUCCCAUCAUUGUGUCAAUAAUAUUACAAUUUAUUUAUUCUUUUUAUGAGGGAUUUGUCUAGUCUUGGGAAUUAAUUAGAUUAGAUUAUGUGGAAUAUGGGGGAAUAUUUUUUGAGGCAUAAAGAAGCAAAUCAGCAUAUAAGUAGGAUUACAUAUUAAAGAAUUCUAAAUAAAGAUGAUCAUUGUAUUGGUAAGUAUAUUAAGUAUUUAUGGAAUAUUAGACUCUAAAAAAAAUAUAUGUUCUAAUGAAAUACUGCACAUAUAUAAAGGGAAGUAUUUCACACAUUGAAGACUGAAGAAGGCAUUUCUUAUUUUAUAUUAGGGAAAUAGCCAAUGCAAAGAAUGAGAAGAAAAACUAUUUCGUCACAUAUGAGGUUUCAUAUCUCUAUAAUGUUUUAAUCUUCUUCAUAUCAAGCAUUUCAUUAGACAUUCUUUAUUAUUAUUUGGUUUUUUCGGAAUGGAGAGGUCAUUUGUUGUGUUGAGGGAAUCUCAAGGAAGUAGCAAAUACAAUUGAAGAUGAGUGGUGCUUGCUAAACACGAUUGACUAGGUAGAUUCAACAAGGUGGUGGUAAGAGCAAGAGAGAGUCUGAGACUAUAGAAAUUAAGGGCUUAUUCGGAUCAAUUUCAACAACAAGACGACCAAAUUUGCCUCUGGAUGCGGAUUCAGUGUUGUAAUCAAUUUUAAAAACACUCCCGAAAAUUUGUCCCAACAUUCGGAGAAUUUUCUUAUUGUAGUAAUGUAGGGCCAUGCCUGGUAAGCGGAUCCAGGCUAUAACAUAUUCAAUCACUGUUGGGUAUAAGAGGCUUUGCACACAACUCUGUAGAAUUGCAGAAUAAUUCUUAUUUGAUUCGAAUGCAAAAUAAUUGACUUAUAGUCGUACAAAAGCAGGGGAAGAAAACUGAAAAACAAACUACCCAUUUUCCACUCUAACAGAUCGUGAAUCAUGGAGAAGAAAUAUUUAAGCUAACAGUUACUUUCCUAAUAAAUAGGAUUUAUUUAAGGCAAUUAAAUAGCUAAACCUGAUGACUCAACAAUCACUGCUGCCGAACUAUCAAAAUGGGGAGUCCAUGGCUUCACUGUUAGAUAGUGCCCCAGAAUAGUCUAAGGCCCUUGCGCCAAAGCGAACUCCACAUCCCUCUCUGUUCUGAAACGAACAAGAUAAUAAUCAUUCUCAAGGUCAAUUCCAGAAAGCCCUUGGGUCGAGCUCCAGAUGGUUUCCAAGCGGUUGCGCAGCGUCCGGUAACCUAUGCGACGACCCAAAAGCUUGACCACCACCGUGUAUUGCCAUGGUUUCAUUAGUUGAGCAUGUACUUUUCUGUGAAAAAAAAAUGGAGUGAAAAUUGUCUGCACACUCAAAAACCACAUCUUCCGGUUCAACUGCCAAAUCUUCCCCGCUAUCAAAAAAUACUCCUUCAUCCACCCUUUGUGUUGACAUCAGUUUAUCACGAAAGGAAGGAGGCUGAGGAUUGUCACCAUCUUCCCCUUCAGCCUUAAAUCUUGCUUUGUUUGUGGAACGGUCGUCAGCCAUAGGUGGAUUAGGGUUUUUCUCCAUUUCAAUCUUUCCUCACAUUAGGAACUCAUUUUUUUUUAAUUGGUUAUAUUUACUUUUUGAUUCUUGUAACUUUUUUCUUUAAAUGCCACCGCUCUUAUUUCUAUCCUCAUUUAACAGACUGCGGGUUGCGUUUGUCACUGUUAGCUGCACAUUGCCAUUUUUCAUGAGUAUGAUUUGCCGUAUGCAUGGAUACUGAAAGUAUCCCUUGUGCUAAAAAUGCUAUGAACCAUCCUUGAAUAAUCAAGUAUAACUGCAUGCAGAACAAAUUCAGCCGUUCUCACGUUUUAGCUAGCAAAUAAUUAUCUUGUAGGAAUUAGAAUGAGCCUGACUUAAGUAUUUGCAUAUCCUGAAGACUUUUAUUCCCAAUAAAAGUAACAUAUAUAUAUAUAUAUAUAUAUAUAUCAUUUCUUUUUCAUUUAUAAACCUUGAUGAAUGAGGGAAUUUAUUUUAUUAUCGAAAAGAGAUCCCUCAGAAAAAAGAAAAGCGGAGGCCAACAUCAACUGAAACUGCACUCUCUGGGAAUUCGCAACGCAUCGUGCAUUAUAAUUCAUCAUCAGCCUUUGGUGCCAGGAGAUGCUGUGAAAGCCAUGUCUUUGUCCUCCAAGGGAAUGGGCUGAAAAAGCAAUGUAAAGCCGACAUCGAUAGUCUCUUGGUUUUGAACACCAUGCCCAUCUCCAUGUAGAUACAUAAAAUGGGACAUUCGCACAAGAUUCAAGAGGAACUCAGCAGUUGUUCGAGUCAAGGGAGAGUCUUUAUCGGCUGUGUAUGCAUUCACCUUCUUCCACAUCUGUCUCAUCAUAUCCUUGAUGUGUUCACGAGCAACUUCCUCCGAGGCACCAGUUUCAUGCAUGUAACACUGGAUUGAUUUCGGAACAUCCCCUCUCUGUAUCUCGUCCUGAUGAUUAUUGGGGAAAAAAAAAAUACAAUCAAUUCAUAUAUAGAGGAUUAAUUCAAUUGCUGUCGUCUUAAAAAAAAUAAAUAAAAAAAGACAUACCGAUGAAGUUCCCAAAUCAUCUUGCAGACGGAAAAUCUUGGAUGACCAGUGAACUAUAUCUGGAUUACUUUCUAGAAAUUCCAGUUCCUUCUUAAUGAUUGGAUUUGUACCAGAAAGAUAUGAAAUCGUUAUAAUUAAAGGGCCCGUUAUUGAUACCAAUCCAUUUUCCAAGUAUUCUUCCAGUUUCGGUGUGUACUUGCUAUGGUACCAUUUCGCCUCCACCAAGUAGGCUUGUAUUAAGCCAAGCCACUGAUGCACAUGGCACAGAAAAUAUACAACUAGUUACGGUUUAUAAUUUUUGAGAAAAAAAGAACAUCGUAAUUUAAAAAGGAUAAAUCAGAGGAAAGGAACAGGGAGAGGCGCCAAAUUAAUAUUUGACGUACUGCAUGUUUUAUGCUCAGAAGCAUAUCAAAAUCCUGUUGUUUGAGAACGUAAUAAGCAAAUUCAUUAACAAAGUUGUAAAGGGCAAGAAAACACAUUUUCAUAUAGCCCGGAAGGUGCUUCAAAGCAUAAUUGAUGUCCCACCUGCAGAAAAAAAAAAUCACAUAAACGGUCUAUUAAAUUGAGAAGUACCAUGCAGCUAGGUAGCAGUUGAAUUGUUAAUUUGCCAACAAACCUCGCAACAGCAUCAGUGAAUAUCUCAAGUUCAUCCAAUGUUCCAUAGACAUCAUAAAUGUCAUCAAUCACUGUAAUUAGGGCUAUCGAGAUUGUGAGCACUCUCCUGCAGUAGGCGAAUUGAGGCUCAAACGCGAUCCCCAUGCUCCAUAAGAAGGACGCUACCAACCUGUUCCUCGCAAAGCUCAAUUUCUCUCCAAGACCUGUAUCCUUCCACCACCUUCAUAGGAAAAUUAAAACGAAUAUUACGACACGUGAUUUAUAUAUCUGUAUAUAUAGAAUCAGCUUUCUGUCUGGAAUUCUGAAGAAUAUUUCUCUGAUACAAGCAUCUCAUUUUAUAAAGCACGUGACUUGUGGCUUUACAAUGCAUUUACAUAUAGAGUUAUCUUCUAGUUCGAGAUUCUUUAAUGCAAACGUUUGGAAUAAUUUAAUAUACAUUUAUAUAAAGUGUAGGCUGGUGCCUUUAUACUGCUGUAAAAGGCGGAGUCUGCACUUGAGAAUAAUUUAAUAAACAUAUGAUUAAAUUGUACAAGUUAUCUAUUCGAUAAAAUCAAAUCUUUGCAAUAUAUAUGAGUUAUGCAAUCAAGGCAUAGAUACCCUGAAAUGUCUUUAAGUUCUUCCUGGUAAAUUGCCUGCAAAGUGUUAAACUCCAACUUAGCGAGCUCAAGUAAAAGGUGGUUCUUGUCCUCUCUUUUCUCAUAAACGUGUAUGAACCACCUUGCCUCUAACAUAGGCACUUUCCAAUGCAGAGGGAGCUCCAGCGCCCGCUUCGCUUGUUCUGCUACAAAUACAUCCUCUUCCUUGCUGUUGCUGGUGAUCAUCAUUUCUUUAAGAUGCUUACUGGUGAAUUGCCAGGCCUCCUCCAUGAUGCUUUCUCCUUCUAAGCUGUAAUACGAGGCUUCAUGCAAGCUCAGUAUUCCCUUGAAAUCAUCACAAAUGAAGCCUACCUUGUCGUCUUUAAAACCACUGAAAACCUCUGCAGUGCUCAACCGAAAAAAGAAAUUAUAUUCAUCAAAACUUUUACACAUAUAUGUUAAUUAGAGAAUGAUUUAAGUGUCCCCAGCGGCCUUGUCGAGUUCGAAUUUCUCAGGAGAUAGAGAGUUAAAAAAUUGAUUUGGGUUUUGCCCACUUUUUUACAUUUAAAAGGAAUGAAUAAGAUAAACAGAGAGAUCGAUUCAAGUAUUCGGAUCUUGCAUGUGCAUGACAGAGUAAGCGAACUAAUGAAAGGUACCUUGAGAAACAGGAUAGCCAUGUUGUCUAAGAAGUCUGAAUUCAAGGGAGGUUGCAUACAGAUUUUCUUUUCUCCAAUUAUAAUCUUUAUUAUGGUUGUGGAUAUUACGCAAUAUGUUCCGAAUCUCAGGCUCAAAAUGAUAAGCCAAUCCAAGUCUUUGCAAAUUAUCAAUCAGCUCCAACUGAUCCAGAGGCUCGGUUACAUCCUUAAUCGCUGUCUUCACUUUUCCCUUCAGCUCUUCUGCUCGUCUUUUGUAUGUUUCAUCCUGUACAUGCACAGCAUUUAGUUUUUAGUUAUUCAUGGUCCUAAUUUGAAAUGAACAAGGGAAAUUUAUACGUAAUAAUAAUAAUAAUAAUAAUCAAUACCGUAUAGUUGCUAUUCAGUGACUGCAAAAAAUCAUGGUCCCAAAUUGAAGGUUGGUAGUUUGCUGAUCUCCUAUCAACUGUCAAAUUAUCAUAUUUGGUGCUGACAAGGCAUUGGACUGGCUUAUUUUUUGCCAUGAUUCUGAUGGCUGCUCUAUUUGUUGCAAGAGGAAGACAUUUGAAACCAUUUACAGAGGUAGCCAAGGUUGAGGGAUUAAUGCAAGAAGACAUUGGAUAUACAGAUGCAGUGUAAGCUAGCUUACAGGUAUACUUGGGAAGGAUUCUCAAAUUAAUCUAUGGUUUGUGGUGAUGUACAAGGUUAUAUAUAUAUAUAUAUAUAGGCAGAGAAGAAGCUCAUGUGAUUGAUUUUUCUUACUCAUUUUUUCUGAGUUUUGAAAGCGUUUAAUUUUUAAGUCUUAAUAGUACAAAGAUAUUUUAUUCUUUUUUUUGUGGGGGGGGUACAUCAUACUGUGCGAACGAGGUCAAUAUUGUACCAGAAGACACAUACAUCAUCCAUACAUUCGGAUGAAUGUUGUAUAAUCUUUUUUUAUUUAUCUUUUUUUUUCCUGCAUACAAAUUUUUUAAAGAGUCUUUCUAUAAACUACACAAUAAAUGCACGCAGAAAUAACAAGAAAUUCAUAAAUUCAAUUCUACUAAUAAAAGUUCUAUUUAUUACAUUAAAAUCUUGUUUUGUGGAGAAAUAAGAAUAUACAAACUAAGUUUAAGGAAAAAAAGGCAUACAAAGUUGCAAACAAUAUCUUAAUGUUGAGGACUAACAUCGAAAUUCUAUUUGUUACAGUUAUAAAGUACUUUUGCGGAAAACAAAUUAAUAAAUUACAAAAUGAUUAUCAACAAAAAGUAGAUUGGGCAGGUAGAUGUCAACUCAAAAGUUAGUGGGAGCAGAUUUCCGGGCUAUAUAGUACAAAUGUAUGUAUCUACUGUCUAAAUAGAUAAUGGAUUUUAAUGUAUCGGUAGAUUGUGAUAAUUUGUACAAAUUUCAGAAAACUUCCAUUUAACAACGGUUGCUGAAAGUGUGUUGUAAAAUAAUUUUAAUAUUUGACAACAAACGAAAGAAUGUUGUCAUAAACUCUUCAAUGGGCUUUCAAUUUCACAACGUCCUACAAAAGCGCGUUGUGAAAAAAAUUCUAAUAAAUGACAAUAGGUGUAAAAUCGUUAUAAAUUUUCAACUCAUCCAAUUCAUGAAUUAAUGAAAUUAAUCCAAAUUUAAUUCAUAACUCUAAGAAUUAGAUGUGGAUUUGACAUAAUUUAUAUCCCAUUGCACUUUUGCGAAUUCGAUAUCAAUUAAAAAAAAAUUCUUUCUAUCCAUUCAUAAAAUAAUUAAAUAAAUAUUUUAAUACAAAAAUAAUUUUAUUACCAAUCAAAUUCAAAUUUAAAAAUAUUAAAUAAAUCAAUAGUUUAAGUACUUGUUUAGGAACGCGAUAUAUCACCCAGCAUCUGUUAAAUCAAUCAACGUACGUUCCUAAAGAAGCAUAAUUUUGAAGCCAUAUACCAUUUCAUCUUUACUCCCUAUUCUUUCUUUAAAAAAACUAUGAAAACGCUGGAGUAAUUGGUUUCAACUUCCGUGUAGGAUAGAUGGGACGUGAUGACACGUAACGACCACUUCUGAAAAACCAUUUGUUUUUUAAGGAUGCCAUUCAAAGUUUCGAACUUUAGCCCACCAAAAGAAAAAAUCUUGAUGUUUUAGAUCAAUGAAUGAAAACUAACUUAAAUUUUAGAAUUAAAUCAAUACAAAAGUUGAAAAUUGAAAGCUUACAUAAUUAAUUGUUGUCAAUGUCCACCCUAACUAAAUUUUAACCUAUUUAUUUAUUAAUAGUAUAACAUUUUUAAAUUAUAUAUAUAUAUAUUCGAAUUUGCUGAUUUUUACGAAUUUGUAGAAGCAAAUCUAUUUCUAAUUCAUUGACGGUGGAUUUUUAAAAUUUUUUAAUCUAAUCCAAUCCAUCAAUCCAUGGAUUAGAUUUUUAUGGAAAUGAUUUUUACAGAUUGAAUGAAUGAAAUGUUAGAAAAUCAAUGGUUGAAGCAGGACUACAGCUAAAAUGAAUUGGAAUAAAAUAAAGAGCAAGCACACAUAGAGGACACAAAAAAUUACAUGGUUCGGUUUUUAGCCUACAUCGAUGGGCGAAGAUAGAAGAAAAAUAUUUUACUAGUGAAAAUAAAUUACAAAUAUUGUGGUAUUUUAACUCACUACCCAAAACCUCAAUACCCCCAAACUCUCAAAUCACUAAUAACACAAGAGUUAUUUAUUUUUCUUCUCAAAAUUUUCUGCAGCACUACCAUUUUUCUUACAUUUCAGUUUCUUGAAUGUCAAAGUCGUGUGCCGCCAAUUGUACUUCUUCAAAGAUGCUGCAGCCCUCUUUGAUUUUUCUUUGUUCAAAAUGAGCUGCUUCGAAAAUUUGGUAGCUAAUUUUCUUGACAUUCUCCCACUUCAAUUGUCAUAUUGCUUACGUCUCUGCUAGGUCACAAGCAAAUCUACUCCAUACAAACUUGUCAACAUUGAUUGGCUUGGUAAAACAUCUGCUAGGUUCUCUUUAGUAUGAAUUUUCUGCAAAUCCACACUUUCGUCUUCCAUUACAUCUCAAACAAAGUGGUAUUGUACCCCUUGUGCUUUGUCCUGGAAUGAAAGGUUGGAUUCCUUGCAAUGUGCAAGACACUCUGACUGUCACAAAAUACAGAAAUUUUCUCUUGUUUGUGUCCGAGCUCCUCCAAUAAUCUUUGUAUCCAAAUAGUUUCCUUGCAAGCUUGUGUAGCUGCCGUGUAUUCUACUUCUAUUGUAGAUAAAACCACAAUGGUCUGUAGUUUUGAAACCCAACUUAUAGCUCUUCCUGCAAGUGUAAACAUAUAGCCAGUAGUGGAUUUCCUUUUAUCAAGGUCUUUUGUAAAAUCUCAAUUCAUUUAGCCCCUGACAAUAAACUCUGAUCCUCCGUAACAUAAUGCAACAUCUGAGGUUCCUCUGAUGUAUCUCAAAAUCCUCUUCAUAAUUUUCCAAUGUUCAACACUAGCAUUCGCCAUGUGUCAACUAACUACUUUUAUUGCUUGUGCAAUGUCCAUUCUAGUACAUAUCAUCGAACAUUAAACUUUCCAUUGCUGAUGCAUAUGGUACUCGAGACAUUUCCUUGCUCUCUGCUUCAUUGCUUGGACAUAUACUUGAGGAUAACUUGAAAGUAAUAGGAAGUGGGGUAUAAAUUGGCUUACAAUCUUGUAUGUUGAAGUGCCACAAGAUUUUCUCAAGUAAUUCUUCUGAAAAAGCCAAAUCUUCCUAUUAUUUCUGUCUCAGUAAAUUUGCAUCCUUAGAAUCUUGCUUGCUGGUCCUUCAUUUCAAACUCCCUAGCCAAUUGUGCUUUUAAUUCUUAGACUUGAUCUUUGUUGGGGCCUGUUACCAACAUGUCAUCUAUGUACAAUAGCAAAAUGAUGAAAUCAUUAUCUUCAAACCUCUUGUAAUAUGCACAAUGGUUUGAACUAAGUCUGUUGUAUCCAAGCUCAUGAUAAAGGAAUUAAAUCUCUUAUACCAACACCUUUGCACCUGUUUGAGACCGUAUAGAGAUUUUUUCAACUUGCAAACCAAAUUCUCUCUGCCCUUUUCAGCAAAACCUUCGGGUUGGAGCAUAUAAAUUUCUUCUUGAAGUUCUCCAUGAAGAAAUGCAAUUUUCAUAUCUAACUGCUUUAGAUGUAGGUCAAAUGUAGCACACAUCGCCAAGAUUAAUCUGACUGUUGUAAGUCGAACCACUGGAGAAAAUAUCUCGUUGAAGUCAAUUCCUUCUUUAUGAGCAUAUUCUUUUACCACCAAUCUUUUACAAUACCGCUCCAUUUGUUCAUUGCCAUCACGCUUGACCUUGUAGACCCAUUUAUUUCCAAUGACUUUUCUUCCAUAUGGUAGUAGUACAAGUUGCCAUGUUUUAUUCUUGUGUAGAGCCUCAAUUUCUUCCUCCAUUACUGUCAUCCACAAAGCAAAAUCUGAGCUGCUUAAAGUUUCAUAGAAAGUUAAUGGCUUUUUAUCCUCUAUCAGAAGACGGCAUGCAACAUUGAUCUUUGUGACAUAAUCUGAGUGCCACAUUGGCGAUCGUCUCUCACGAGUUGACUAACGAACUUCUCCAGCCUCGGACUCAACUGGUUAUUGUUCCUCGUGCUCUGGUGCUGCUUCAGAAGAAUCUGAAUCUUUUUUUCCAGAUUAUUUUCAACAUAUACCAGCACAGUCUUUGACUUUUCUUUUACAGUGCUAUCAUCUUUAUCUCUCUUUGUAGUUGAUCAUCUACAAAGAUAACAUCUCUGCUAAUGACUAUCUUGUGGGCAGUGGGGUCCUACAGACGAUACCCCUUUCUCCAUUAGCAUACCCCAAGAAGAUACACCCAUAAAUUUUAUAUUCAGCUUUAUUUUUUCUUGGGCAUUGUACAUCACGUACACAUGACAUUCAAAUGUAUAUAGGUGGGAGUAAUCAGUUGGCUUUUCUGUCCACAUCUCCAUCAAUGUCUUUAACCUAAUUGAUGUGGAUGUCAAUCGAUUUACUAUAUAACAAACAAUUUUGGCUGCUUUUGCCCAAAAUAAGUUGGGUAGACCAGCAGUCCUCAACAUAGCUCUUAUUAUUUCUAUAAAAGUUUUGUUCAUCCACUCUACCACUCUAUUAUGUUGGGAAGUGUAUGACACUGUGAACUGCUUCUGAAAAUCUUUUUGCUUACUUUAUGCAAUAAACUUGUCAUUUGUAUACUCUCCACCGUUAUUUGUCCUCAAGCACUUUAUCCUCUUUUUGAAUUCAAGUUCUAUCAGCAUUUUGUACUAUUUGAAUACUAGAAACACAUAUGAUGUUUUCUUGAUUAGACACACCCAACAUCUAUUGAAAUAAUCAUCAAUAAAAGGCACCAAGUACUUUGCACCUCCCAUGGACAUGUCUGGUGAUUCCUAAAUAUCAGAAUGAACCAAGUCUCAAAUGCAUUUACUUCUAGCAAUAGAUCUGCUUAACUUCAAUCUAUGCUGUUUACUUUUAACACAAUGCUCGCAAAACGAUAAGUUUACCGAUUUGAGACCUGGAAGCAAUUUUUACUCAGAGAAAAUAUUCAAACCUUGUUCUGACAUUUGGCUAGGCUGGAAAUGUCACAUCAUCAUCACUCUUCUCCAUUUGAUGCGACACACACAUUAACUUUCUGUAGUGUUUUCCCUUUAAGCAUGAAUAAAUUAGCACUAAUCAUUUCCGUCUUCAUUAAUACAAGUGCACCUUUGACUAUCUUCAUGAUCACAUUUUCCACAUGAGUUUUGUACGCAUGACUAUCUAUUUGUCCUAAGGAUAAUAGAUUUUUAUUCAGGCCAUUGACAUGUCGUACCUCCUCAAUUGCGCGAACCGUACCAUUAAACAUUUUUAUUUUAACAGUGGAACAGCUCUCUCCGAGAGGUCAUGUGUUAGGUAGCUCUCGAUUCUAUAAGCCAGACAUUAUAUAGUUGUUUUCUGCCUUUUAAAAUAGUUGUUGCCUUGCUGUAGAGAAUUUCGCUAUCAUUUAAGGUACUUACUACACACCCCUGAGCAUUUGAUGAUACAGGAACUAUACCCUCUCUUCUCUUCUAGUUGUUCCAAUAAUCUUUUUUGACACACCAUUUCUUACCACAAUUGUAGCAUUUGACAUUAUUCUUACUUCUUGAUUUUGAUCUACCAUGAUUGUGACUCCUAUUGGGACCACGUUCCGUUGGUCUCCCUCUUAUCACCGAUAGUACUUCCACUUGUUGCGAACUUGCUUGCCUAUCUUCCUUAUUUUUCCGCAUGCUCUCAUUUAAUAUGGAGGCUGCAACAUCAUCGAAAGCUACACUGUUUGCUUGGUUGUUUGUCAGAUUAAUGAUGAGUUGAUAUGUGAAAAUAGAGUCUUCAAGGUGUUGAUAUGGUCGAUCACCGAUGUAAAUUUCGCUAUUCGAAGAGGAUAAAGUCUCUACUUUAAGAAGAUCAUAUUGUGCAGUGACUUGACCUCGUACAAUUUUGUAAGAGUAUCCCAUAUUUCCUUAGCUAUCUUUUUCUCUGCCAUACUAGAUAACAUCCCAUCUGCAAGUGCCAGGUGUAGAUCAGCAAUUACAUUACCGUCCAUCUCAUUCUACUUGUCAUCAGUUAUAUUUGUGGGUCUUUCUCUAAUUGUUGCUAAGCAAUUAGUUUUCCUCAAUACAACCUUCAUCUUCAUUUUCCACAACGAGAAAUUAUUUUCGCUGAACUUCUCAAUUUCAUAUUUUACUGUCAUCACUUUUUACAAUGAACUACUUUAGUUAGAAUUGGCUCCCACCAUUUCACGAGAACAAUAACUAUAUAUAUGAACAAUGUCGUAUAUAUGAACAAUACUCUAUAUGUGAACAAUACCCCGACUCUAAAAAUACAACCAGUAGCUCUGAUAUCAGUGUUAGAAAAUCUAUGGUUGAAGCAGGGGCACAACUAAAAUGAAAUUGGAGGAAAAUGAAGAAUAAACACGCACAGAUGACACAAAAAAUAACGUGGUUCAGCUUUUAGCCCACGUCCACGGACGAAAAUAGAAGGAAAAUAUUUUACUAGUGAAAAGCAGUUACAAGUAUUGUAAUAUUUUAACUCACUACCCAAAUACCAAUAAACUCAAACUCUCAAAUCACUACGAACACAAGAGUUAUUAAAACACAUGAGUUAUUAAAACUCUAUACUCUCAAUUCUUAGCUCUCUAUAAGGAAGAAGAAAAUGAGAUAAAGAAAUUGGAUGCCAAAACCAAAUGGGGAGCUCUCUUUUUAUAGCCAAAAUUGGCUAUUAUUUUAUUUAUUUUUCUUGUCAAAAUUUGCUACAACACCACUAUUUUUCUUACAUUUUGGCUUCUUCAAUGUCAAAACCGUGUGCUGCCAAUUUUACUUCUUCAAAGAUGCUGCAGCUCUCUUUGAUUUUUCUUUGUCCAAAAUGGGCUGCUUCUAGAAUUUAGCAGCUACUUUUCUUGACAUUAAAUAAAUAGAACACUCUAGCACGUUGUUAUAAUCAUGUUGCAGAUAGAACACUCUAACACAUUGUUAUAAUCAUGUUGCCUUGACCUUAUUUUCUUGAAGCAUGUUGACAAAUACAAUAAUGUGCAUUUGGAGGACUAUUAUGAAUAUAAAAACAAUAGAAAGUAUAAAUGACUAAUAAUAUACAUGACUUUAAGUGACAUGAGAUUUUUAAAACUAAACAAAGCUAACACAAGUAUAUGAUCCUUUCAUUAUAAUAUGUCGUAAAAUAAAAACUACAUAAUAUGUAUUUCUUUUAUUUUUUUAGUUUAAUUCGUUCAAUUUCUUGCAGUAACUAAAAACACUUUAGAAUUAUGUUAAGAUCAACCCAUACAAAGAAAAUAUCCUAAGUACUCCGAAGUAAUAAGCAACAUACAUAUGUGUGUGUGUUGUACAAUUUAAUAUUAUUUCAACUAGCGAAAUUUAUUGUGGAAGUCAUAAAAAUUAAGAAUGAAGAAAAGGAACCAUGAACCCAAACCAGAACGCAAAAAGUAGUCAUAUUUUUUCAUGAGGGAAUUCUAACCUGCCAAUCCAUGUGUUUAGAAUAAUCAACGAUGUUGAUAUUUCUUUAUAAUGGUCCUACAGUGAACAGAAACAUGCAGAAUACGAGUCAGGGUGUAUUGAAAAGAAUACGUAAAAACUCUUUUAAUCCCUAUAUUUUGAGGUUAGUAACCUAUAUUUUUAAGAAUACCUCAAAACUCCCUGCAGUUAAACUAUUGACACAUCUGCCUUUUUAUUUUUUAUUCCUUUUAACUUACUUCUAUAAUAUUACCUUUUUACGAUAAUUUUUUUGGACAUUAAUAAAAAGAAAAAAAUUAUCAAUUUAAACCUAAAAAUGAUACACACACACACACACAUAUAUACACUAAUUUUUCUAAAAGCUCACAUAUUGUAAAAAAGUAAUAUUGUAAAAAAAAUUAAAUUACGAACUUUUUUGGACAUUAAUAAAAACAUAAAUAUAUUAACUCAUCAGUAGAAUGCUCUAAAUUUAUUUUUUUGGAUUAAAUUAAUAAUUUAAUUUCUUUAUUAAUGUCCAAAAAAUAAACAUUAUUGUGAGAGAAUAAUAUGUAAAAGCAAGCUAAAAAGAACAAAAAGUAACGGCAGGGGUGUCAAUAAUUUAACAAUAGAGAUGUUUUGAGGUAUUUCUAAAUAUAUAGUGACUAAAAAAAUACUAACAUAAAAAUAUAGGAAUUAAACGAGCUUUCAUCCAAAGAGAAUCCAUGUAUAGCCGAUUUUACUAGAAUUUACAAGUAAAAUGCAAAUACCAUUAGUCUUCUAAAACACAUGCAACUUUUCAUCAACAACCUGAAAAAUACCAUUAGAAGAGAUACUUGUACCAUUUCCAUGGGAUCAUCAAUCUCGAAACAAAAGAGUUUUUGUGAGGCAACAUAUCAGCAUGUAAAAUGCCACUUCAUUAACUAGUAGUUGAAAAUGACAAGAAGAGCAUAAGAGAAAUUUUAGAAUACCUCUAAAGUACCAUUUCAUCUAUGCAAUAAGUAAAUAAUUAAGUGCAUUUAUUUUGAAGAACCGACAAGUAAUUAAUGGUUAUACAAAAUUUAAAUACACAUGUCAUAUAUGUAUUAAUUGAUUAUAUUAUCUUUUGGGUGCUACUAAGUUAUAAUUACUGUAACUUACAGCCCUUCAAAAUAAUGUAAACAGUUGUCAUAGGUGGUAGGACCCGUAUGAUUAUAAAAGGAAUUGUAAAUUACAGCAGCAGUAACUUAGCAAAAUCUUUAUCUCUUAUGCAUUUUAGAAUUUCUCAUGAAAGAGACACAACAUAUUUCACUUUUUUUCUUCUUGAUUUUACUGCAUUACACUAAAGUGUAGCACAUGAGCCACAUGCAUAUGAAAAUUUAGACUAGUUGGUGUAGGGCAUGUUGAGGAGUCAGAGCCUUUCCUUUCUGACACAAUGAUAACAUAGUAUAUCAGUGUGCAGUACAUAAGCACAUGCGCAUACAAACUUAGACUAGUGGUGCGAGGCUUGUUCGAGGAGCCUCUCUUUUUUUCUUUUUUUGACACAAAAUGAAAAAAAUUAUUAACCAUCAAAUUACAAUUUGAUAAGUCUGAUGAAAGAUUAAAAAAAAAAAAUAGAAAUACAUGUGUCUAACAAUGUACAUUUUAGUGUCUUUAUCAUCGCAAGUCUUGUAGGCAAGAACGACUCAACCAAUUUUAAAGUCCUAGGUGAAUUGUACUAAAAUUUUUAUUUAUUUAAGAUCAAUGUUUUCUAGCUUUCUGAAAUGUAAAAUUAUUAAUCAAAUUUUUAUGUUCUAAUUUCAUGAAUAUAUUUUUCUCAAUAAUCAAUAUAGCUAAUCCAUUUGUUCUCUCUUGCGAGAUUGUUAAUUCUAAAUAUGUUUUUAUAAAUUUUAAUUUUAAAAACUUCUUUCUACAGAAACAAUUGUUAGUAGUACUAUUAAUAAUAUUCUAUAUGCAAUCUAUGCAUUUGAGAAAGAAUCAAUUUGUUUUCAAAUAAUUAAUUAGUAUUUUUUCACCUUGAAAUACUUCAUUUAAAAUCUCAACUCUUAAAACAAAUAUUCACCAUCUAUAUCAGAAAGUGUAUCAUGUUUUAAAGUAUUUUCGAGAUUAACACAAUAAAUAUUUAAAAUGUAGUCAUUUAACAAUUGUAAUUUUUUGAAAUUAAACAAAAAUCCAACCAUAUUAUCAUAUAUUUGAAAUUAUUCACAUAUAGUCUUAUUGUAGAAAUAACUUGAUCUACUAUAUAUAUAUAUAAUAAUUAAUUCUAAAGGACUCUUCAACAGACAAAAUUUCCUCUUCACUAACAUUUUCAUUAAAUUUGUUUCUUUUUCUACAAAUUAUACUUUUUUCAUGAAAUUUAGGUUCUAUUUCCAUUUCACUUGCAAGUUCUCUUGCUGAAAUCAGAGCAGACAUGAAUCCAUCUUUUCUAUUUCUUUCAAAGAAAGAAAUAAGACCUUUAAGCUUAUCUAUGGCAAUAUCAGUAUGUACGUAUUCUUUUUGCAAGAUCAUACUUUGUAAUACCCCACCCCGCUGCUUUGACUAAUUUUGACUUGCUUUUUUAUUAUAUAAAAAUGUUGGGAAAAUAUGCUCUUUAAAAGCAUAUGUGUUUAUUUAAUUGUAAUAAACAAAUUUUCUGAUUAAUAAAAUAAAUGAGGUAUUUUAUUCAAAUAUCUUAAUUGCAUUAAUAUUUGUAUUAAAGUCCAUUUAAUCAUAUUAUAUGUAUUUAUGUGAUCACCAUGUGGAUUCACAGAAUGAAUUUAUUACAGUCUAUACCUAAAUAAAGUGCCCAACUUUAUUUAGUUCACAGAAGAUAUAAAUACAAGUUAUCUUAUGAUUAAAUAAAUUUAGUUCGCAGUUGAUAAAAUAAAGUUGGGCACUUUAUUUAGGUAUAGACUGUAAUAAAUUCAUUGAAUGAUUUGUCUUAAUCAUAUAUGAAUUUAUUACAGUCUAUACCUAAAUAAAGUUAUCUUAUGAUUAAAUAAAUUUAGUUCGCAGUUGAUAAAUAAAGUUUGGCACUUUAUUUAGGUAUAGACUGUAAUAAAUUCAUUGAAUGAUUUGUCUUAAUCAUAUAUGAAUUUAUUGAUGUAGUACGACUACAUUGAACAUCAUACUACAUUGAACAGGAUCACAUAUGAGAUUUAAUUAACUUUGUAAUAACUGUCAGACUUAUUAAAUCUCAUAGGUGUUGAUUUUACUGUAAUCUUAAUCUUGAGUUAAUUAUGAUUUCAUGAUUGUAAUUGUUAUUCCAUUUGAGUUACUAAUGGGCACGGCACAUCCUUGUGGUCAAGAUUACCCGGUAUUUUGGUGGGAGCAAUUAUGAGUAUUGGAGUUAUGGAUUAACAAUAUAGAAUUUGUACAACACAUCUCUUGAUGGGUUUUCGGCACUUGAUCAUAGAAUUCUCUGGCCAGAGUGUGUCAACAUAUUUAGUAUGUUGAAAAUGAUCAUUAGAGAAAACCAGUAAGAAUCAAGGAAUAAGAUAUUAUUAAAUUGAUUGAACAGUUGAGAUAUCAAUUUAAUUAACGAUGUGGUACAAAGGAUUGUGCAGUAAAGAAAUCAAUGUGGCUUGGACCGAAUUAUUAUUCGAGCAUACAAUUAUGGAAGUCAGUACCAAUCUUUUAGUGGAGUAGAUUUGGAAUUAAAUAAUUGGGCUAGUUUAAUUACAGGCUUAAUUAUUGUAGCCACUAUUGUAUGUUCCCAAAUGAUCCCCGGGUUAGUUCAUUUAAUUGAUUGCACCACUACUAGACUAAUAAGUAAGAUAACUAGCUAUUUGGGUCAAAAGUCUAAAUAUAUCAUUUAGUGGGAGGCUCUAUUCAAUUAGUUUUUGUGUAAGGGGCCUUAUGUUAUUUUACAAGGUGGGUCCCCUAUUAAAAAAGCAAAUAACGUGGGUUUUGUUUUUCGAUUAUUUGGAGCCUAAGGUUUUUACUAAAGGGAGAUAUAAAAGGCUUAUUUUUCUCUAAAGAAAAGGGUGAAGCUACUUUAUAUGGAUCAGAGAAAAUGAUUUUUCUCUCUAUUGUUGAGAGAAAAAUUUUCUCGUGCUAGUUGCUUUGGUAGUGAUAAAGGCGCCCACACGUCAAGUGCAGAUCGAACCUGAGUCAUAACCUGGAAGAUCAUUGGUGCCAGUUCGUGUUCUAACAAGCGUGGUGGUGACGGAUCGUGAUCUAACAGGAGUGGUGGUGACGGAUCGUGAUCUAACAGGAGUGGUGGUGACGGAUCGUGAUCUGGGAGCCUAAAUCAUUUCAGCAGAAAAAGCUAAAUCAGAUUUUCAAGGUACGAUUUCUAGAUUACAAAUUCUUAUAUAUUAUAUGAGAGCGAUCUUAAAAAGGUUUUAUAAAAAUUAAAAAACUUGAUUUUUCCCCAACAAAAAAAAGGAAGCUGGAAAUUGUUUAAAGAAGAGGAAGCAUAUUCACACGUGAGAAAGAGAGAAAGCUGCCAAAACCGACUCGGAAAACCUAACCCAUGAACCAACCUGGCCACCAUUUCUCGUUCCCGACCACCCCACCAGCAACGGGAGGUACCGAUUAGAAGCUUUAGAACCAAUGGUCACUUCCCCGCCAUUGUUACCGUUGAAUAACGACCAGAACGCCGUCAUUUGGGCUCGCAAAACUUGCAGUAUUUGCCACCUCCAUUCACCGUGAUUUCGCUGGUUUUGGGUGACGCCACCGACUGGGUUCGUUCCUCAGGUCACUACCUUCAUUUUUUGACCACCCACAUCACCAAAAAUAGUUGAUUUACUGCCAAUCGACCGCCAAAGUGUUCACGGCUUUGGGAGCUCAAUCCGGUGCCUCCGUCGCCACCGUUGGAUUCAACGCGACAUGAAGCUUCUAUCCCGACCUUUCCCAUCACCACCGUAUGAAUUUAGAUCACCGUUGGUCGAGGAGAGCAUUUUAGUAAUUUUUUAGAAUUAGAGGGUAAUUUCUUAAAUUUUUGAUUUCAUGAAUAUUUCAGUGAUUUCUGAUUUGAGAAUAAGAAUCUAAGGGUAGUUCGAUAAAUUAUGAUUUUGAGGAUAAUUUGGCAACUUGUGAUUCUGAGAUUUCAGGGGCAUUCUAGUAAUUUAAAUUUUGGUAUUUUUGUAAUUAAUUAUUCAAAUUGAGAUUAAUUGAGGUUAAGUUUAGAGGGUGUUAUAUUGAGGAAUUUGAGAACAAUAGAGUUUAUGAUUUCAUAUGAUUUUAUCUUAUAGGAGUAUUUUUUAUUGAUUUUAGGUCGGUGAUAUCGAUACAUAUUUGUUACUUGAGGAUGCUAGAAGGUAAGUAAACUAGAUUUCUAAAUGAGUCAUAAUAAAUAAUAUGUACAUGUUUGACAUGUUUGAAAAGCUUAUUUUGAUAUAUACGGAUAUGGAUUUAUAUGCUCUGCCCAUGUGUUUAUAUGAUGUGUUAAUAGGAUGUAUUGUUAUGUGUUAUGUGUGUUUAUGGACAUGGACAUAUGUCUGUGUGUAUGUUUCAAUGGCAUUAGCACAAAAAUGUAUUAUGUUUUUUGUGAAAUGAGAAAGCGGAUUUUAGCCAAACGGAAUUGAAAGAAAGAAAAUCUUACACUAUGUAGUAGCAAUCCUUAUGAAUUUCCUCGAGGUGAUGAAUGUUUUCGUUAUUCAAAGCUAGGCCAUACAUUAAACCAAUGUCCAGAACGAAGACAACAAAUAGUCAAUUUGGAAACUAAUGUAGAGGAAAAUGGAAAGCCUAAGGAUGAACUAUAUAAAGACAAUGACGACAUAGAAAAGGAGGAAGAGUGGACAUAUUGAGACAUAUGAGUAUCACUAGUAACACAACAUUCGUUAUACACACAAAAGAAAGACGAAGACACUCAGAGACAUAAUAUCUUCAAAACAAGGUGCACAAUCAAUGAGAGGGUAUGUGAUGAUUAUUGACAGUGAUAGUAGCAAGAAUAUAGUUUCGAAGAUUAUAAUUGACAAGUUACAGCUUAAAACUCACAAACAUCCUUCCCCUUAUUGCAUUAGAUGGAUAAAAGAUGUUGGAGAGAUCAAGGUUACUCAACAAUGUUGUAUUCAUUUUUUCCAUCAGAAGACAUAAAGAUGAAGUUACUUGCGAUCUUGUUGACAUAAAUGCUUGCCAUUUGCUUUUCAGGAGACCUUGGCAAUUUGAUCUUAAUAUGGUACAUUAUGGGAAAGAUAACACAUACAGGUUCUAUAAAGACAACCUAGAAGUUAUCCUUGCUCCGAUAAAGUCAAAUGUCAAGGGAACUUAUCUUUUACUACAAAAGAGAUAGCUGAAGAAGAAUCGAUGCCUGAAUAAGUCCAAUCGCUACUCUCAUAAUUUCAGGAUAUCGUGCCUAAAGAGCUUCUUAACAAGUUACCUCCUAUGAGGAUUACCUAUGACUCAAAUUAAAAGAGAACUUCUAAUGGUUUGCCCUUACAAGUCUACUAUUUUUAGAAGAACCAUACUAAAAAACAAGAAGAAAUUGAAGUUUUAGUACUUUUGAGUUUUAAGAAAAGUUGAUGCAAAGUGCUACACUUUUGCAGUGCAAGAUCAAUUACUCCUUCAUUAAAAGAUUUAUCCUCUAGAUUGUCCUUUAUUUUCAGCAAAACUUGAGGACGAGUUUUUUUUUUCGAAGAGGAGCAGACUGAUGUUGUAACACUCCACUAAAAUAUCUAUUUUAAAAAUGUUUAAAACAUAGUUAAAUAUGAUUUCUAAAAGCUUAACACAACAAACAAAAUUUUCUUCAUAAAGUAAAAGUCAUACAGAGAUUUAAUAGUUUAUUUCAAAACUUGAUUAUUACAUAAAGCUAAUAUGUUUAAUUUUUAUUUAAACAAAGCUGAGCCCAUCUUAAAAUCCCAAGGUCUGUUAUGCCCAUAUGCACUUCGUCUUGCUUAGGACUUGGCGCCAGCUUGCCUUACUCAUCAUUAUCUGCAAUGUAAGGACUUUAUGAGCUAAUGCCCAAUAAGAUAAUACUUUUAUGAAUGUAUAAAUUAUGAUGCAUAUGGAUGACCAUCUUAAGCUUUUAAAAUAAACUUAAAAAAUACAAAACAACUUCAUUAGGGCCCUAGGUAUGUUGCACUACAAGGUUGGCACUUUUACUCUUUUAAACAAUAUGCCUUUGGGCCUCAUUAGUUGAUCUUUUAGGCGUUAUGUAUCGCCGUCCCCAAAAGAUUUUUUAUUAGUUAGCUUUAAGGGCUUGCCCUCCUUAGAAACUUUGCCACCUGGUGGUACAACCACUUAUUUUUCAUAAAUUCAUUUUCUGAAACGCCUUCUUCAUAAUGUAAUCCAUGAUAUGCAUGCAUUCAAUGCAAAUUAUGUCAUAAUAUUUGAAGUUCCUAAAUGCAUAAAAGAAUCAAUACAGAACACUAUUUAAGAACAAGAUUCUUUAAUACAGGUGGCACAACCGACCAUAACAUAAAUAAUUAUAAGUAUCACAGAUUAGGCGACAGAGCCGACCAUAACAUAACUAAGCAUCGUAAAUAGGCGGCAGAGUCGACCAUAACAUAACUUAUCAUCGUAGAUUAGGUGGUAAAGCUGACCAUAACAUAACUAAGCAUCAUAGAUUAGGCGGCAUAGCUGUUGGUUAAUUUAACUCGAUUGUUAUUGAUGUUAAUGUGCAAGUGUACACAACAAUUGUCAAUUUAUACAAAGUUGCUUGUAUUAUUUCUAUCUGUAGGUUGGGUUAAAGUUGAUAUGGAUGGUGUACAAAAUGAUAAAUUUCACUAUUAUUCAUUCAUAAUAAAGUUGAUUGACUAAUAACAUUAACAACGCAAUAAAGUAACGGCAAUAAUAAAGUAAACUGAACAGCUUGCACAAAUAAAAUUCAAUAAGGAUAAAGUAGUUGAAUGAUCAAACUCUCUUCAUGGGCUGACUGUUUUGUUUAGACUAACACCAGUUGGUGCAACAACUCCUAUAGCACUGGGCAGACUUAUGCAACCUAACAAUGACCAGUCGUUAUAUUACGAACAUAUACUCUCUUUACCCUACAAAGUGAAUCAUUAUAUCUAUGUCAUCACAAAUCUUAAUUCAAGUGUGGCCCUCUUGAGACUCAAGUUAAACUCAAUCUAGAAAACUUAAAUUAAGAUCAAAUAUUACUCUAAUAAUUUCCAUUGAGACAGACCCUUUUGUGGCUCUCUCUUAACUUGAACCAUUAAAUGAGAGGUCAAUCGAAACAAUGAUUGUAAUACAAGCUAUUAAAGCAAAAUGCUACAGCAAUGUUGCAGCAACUCAUAAGAACAGUCAAGAACCCAUUUAGAUCGUUUGUCACUCAUAACUUGUAAAAGAAAAACAAACAGCAAAGUAUCAGCCAUGAAAUACAUCGUUUUAAUCAAGGAGUAAGUAAGGGGGCAGUAAAGAAUGAUGAAAAUUGAAUCCAAAUAGUUCUAUAGAUUUCUUCAAUGGUGCAGACUUGUCUCUCUUGAAUUCUGCUCUUUCCUUAUUUUCUCUUGAUUUCUUCGAUGUUAAUUCACCGCCCCCUUUCUAUAUGAUGCGUGCUCCUUUUAUAAUUGAAAAUUAGAGUAAACGGAAGCCUAGGGCACGCAUGAGUCAGAUUAGAAAACUGCAGAUCACGAUUCUCCAAGUAUCCUACGUGGAAUUUUCUCUAUCAUUGUUCCAAGAUUGCUACAGCAAUAGCUACUACAGCAACGGCUACAACAACUGCACUGUUCCAGAUUUGUUUCAAGUCUUUUGUGGCUAAGUUCUUUUCCAUCUUUUACAAGCCGAUUGCAUCAGCAUUCCUUCCUUAAAACUUGAGCUUCCGAACACCUACAAUUACGCACACAAUCUAGGCACAAAUUAUUUUAAAUCAAACAAAAUUUAUUACGACUAAACUAAAAUGAAUGUUUAUGCGAAAUAUAACAAAAAUGCAAUAGAACACAACAUUUACUCUCUAAAUAAUAUCGAUUUAAGUCUAAAAGUGCAUUGAUAACUCUCAUUUCCUAGAGUUAUCAAUAGCCGACCAUAUAAGAAUUUAGAUUAUAACUAAUAACAUCAUAAUAGCCAUCACAACAUAAGGAAAUCGUUAAAACUGAAGUUAAGUAUGAAAAGAAUUUUGUCCUUACAUUGCAGUUGAAGUGUUACUUACAUCUUGGCCUUGACUUCUCUAGACAUUUCUAAAUUAAGGAUUUCUAUACACUUGAUAUUAUGACUUAGAAUAGAAUUCAAUUUUGGCGGGAAAUUAUUUAUGAUAGAAUAUAUGAUGGCUUUUCCAUCAUAAAGUUUUGAUUUUUUUCUAAAAUUAUAUUAUAAUUUAUUAAUGAAUUCCUGUUUACAAAUUUAAUUAAUUAAUAAAACAAAUAUAAUAAAAAACUUAAUAUCAAUUAACAUUCAUUCAAUCCAAAAAUUAAUUUAAAAAGAAAUACAUCUAAUAUCUAAUGUGAUCUCCACCAAUACAUAAUAAAACAUCCCAAAUUGAAAAAGUCAUCCCAAAAUAUAAAAUUGCAGUCAAAUUCCAAUCAAACUCUAAGAAAAGCAAUAAGAAUUCCGGCCACCAAGCCAAGUUACCCAACAAAACUUCCAAAGAUUAAUGCAAGUACUCCAACAAUAAGAUUUCUAGCAAGACUUCCUGUAAAAAUUCCAGCAACAAUAUCAUCUUUCGACAGCACUCUAAACGAAAAUUGAAACUUACAAAGCGACCUACAAGCUUCCUGUGAACAAAAUUGAUUCAAACACCAAGCAGAAUAAGGAAAAUUAAGAGGCUGCAAUACAUGUGGGCAUCAAAUAUAGUAAUCCAUUUGAUUUAAACUGACUUAACUUUUAUGGAAUGAGCAAAAUGUACAUACUCAAUGGAUUAAAAUUACUUUUAGUGAAUGGGAAUUCAUCAAAAUCAGCAAGCUAGCUAAAAAUGCAAAGGAAGCCACAACAAUAGACCAGUGUAAGGAGACAAAAAUAAAUCAUAAAGUCAUAAAAAGCAAUGGCAUCCAGAUCCAGCUGAACUGAUCAACCAAUGAAAAGGAAACCAAACAACCAACUUUGACAAGCUUAUCUCAACCAACAGCACUAAUUCUAGGCCUGUAACUUGCCUACGUAUUUAAAAUAGCAAAUAGUCCAAGUUUAACAUCAAUUUUGACAAGAAACACAACAAACAGAAAAUGUAACAAAAACCAAAUCAGAGGCUAAGCAACAUACUGCAGCCAUUAUGCCACACAAGAACAUAAAUAUUGCAAUUUGUAGUAGCCCUCCAAGAACAGCGACAUGUCCCACUGCUUUUAACUGCAUUGAUGAUGAAUUAUGGAAUUGGAACAAAUUUUAUGAACAAAGAAGGAAAAUGUUGUCAAUAAUUAUCAUACACUUUCCAAGCACAGAAUGAUUUACCUUUUGUCAAAGAAAACUCUAGCCCCAAAGCAAAAAGAAGGAAGACAACACCAAAUUGUGCAAAAGUUUCAACCUGUGAUGAAUGAAACAAAAAGGAACUUGUUACCUAGAAUAAUGAUCGCAAAAUAAACAGAAGAACAAAUACACCACAAGAAUCUCUACCAGAUAAUAACUAAUAGUAGUUUACUGAAUAUCUACCAAUUCACUUAGGCUUAAUGAGCUAAAUGAAAAACUUUUCAUCAGAAAGUUAAUAUCAUAAUGAGGGAUUGAUAGUUAAAAAACUGGAAAAGUUAAAGAGGAACAUAUUGUUUUUUUAGGCCAGGUUUUCUUCAAAAUCUCUUGAUGUGAAAGUUCUCAGCUUUCACAACAAAAAACUAAAUUUUGCAGUGAAGUAUUGUUGGACCGAUUACCAUAGGUUUUAUCAAAUCAUAACUAAAGCAGUACCAUAACCAUUCUCGAAUUAAUUUACUCACUCAGCAUUAUAUCACCUUUAUGCAUCCUUUUAUAUUCAUCCAGUAUACUUCCAAGAAAAUCCUGUCAAAAUAGCGUAUGAACUAAGUGUCCCGAUACACAUUACCAACUAGCCAUUAUUUAUUUGUUUAUUUUCUUUAGCAGUAACUAGAAUAACUAUAGCUAGAAGAAGAAAUAAUCAGAGUGCCAAUGCAUAAACUACAGAAUAUACAUUCUACACCAAGAAAUUGAUUAACUGAACUAUUUACAAUCCUGAAAUAACCCAAGGUCAAGAAACGGCUAAAUAUGCUUCAAGACCUGAAUCUUACUAGCCCAUGUCCAUAAAUUGUAAGCGAAAAUCAUUAAUAUAUUUUUAAACAGUACUUGUAAAAUAAGUGUUCCAAUUGUAACUUGACCAUGAAGAGCAUUAUUGCUGUUCUGUUCUACCAAAAAUUUCACCACCUAGCACAGGUAACAGGAAAAGCAUGAACCAGAUAGAAAUUCACAAGUGGAAGCCAAGAUGAAAAGAGGAAUUCGAUUGUCAAAAAAAUGGUGUAGAAGAAUACCACUGCAGUUGAUGACAUAUAUUACUGGUUUUUUUUUUUUUUACAAAAAGGCUUUAUAAUAUAUAUAUAAAAAAUUGAAAUAAAAAAACUAGAAAAUAAAAAACAAAGCAAAAUAAAACAACCAAAAACCUAAAUCCCCAAAUAACCAAAUUGCCUCCCUCAGCCGCCCUCUCUCUCACGCGAAGCAACAGCCAAAAACCUAAAUCCCCAAAAUCACUCACCCUACCAUCCGUGAAGCAACAACAAACAACAGCCGACAGGCACACCUUCACUGCCUCACACACCUAAACAACAAUUACAGCCAUCACCCAUCAACAACCCAGCAGCACGCGAUGCAGUAGCGACCCAACAGAAUCAGCAGCGUGACGUAGCAGCAGCCACUCCCACGCGACAUAGAAGCAGCCACUCGAACCCCGCGCGACACAGCAGCAAUAAACCCAGCAUUUUAAUACUACUAGCAAAAUGGUGUCGACAGCAAUGGGCUACAAUUUUUAAACAACAUUGCCGGCAUAGUUACAAUAUAAUUGAAUGGCGGCGAAAGGAUGGUGUUUUGCUCGGUCGAUUGAGUGCAAGGUUGAUUUCUAGGGUUUGGCCAUGAGAGAGUGAUGAGUGUUUGGGUGUGAGUGUUAGUGAUUUUGGGGCUUGGUGGGUCAAGACAAUAGUGUUUUUCUUUUCUCUUUUUUUCAUUUUUGAAUUAUUAAAAUGCACCUUUUUUAAAAAAUAAAAUAAAAUAUUAAACUUUAGGUCAAACAUAGUCAAAGUAAAUUUUUUAUCAUAAUUUCUUGAUAGAGAAAAUUUUUAUCACGAUUCUAUCAUAAAUUUGUGAUAAACAAUAAUUAUAUCACAAAACCAUCAUAAAUUUGUGAUAGAAAAUAAUAUUGUCACAAAAUCAUCAUUAAUUUAUGAUAGAUUGAAAAUUCUAUCACGAGUCUGUCAUAUUAUUAUGAUAUAAGUUGAAUCUGUCAUAAACUGUCUGUCAUCUAUUAUAUGUUUUCUUGUAGUGAUUCUCUACCGCCAGAACCUCCUCUAAUUUCUGGCGACAUCCCCACUAAUCAGCAGCCCUCACAACAACUAUUAACACUUCAAACCAUAAACCUUAGACUGCAACAAACCUUUCAAAAUAUGCUCCACGCUUUCGCCACAUUGCCUGCCUCAAUUGGUGGCGAUUACUUGCUGACGGAACCACCAUUGAACCUUAUGUACUCUAAACAACUGUCAGCAGCCUCUCACCCUCCAGCUGCCACCAAACCCCUCAGGCACCAGUACACACGAGCACAACCAAAACUCAGGCACCACUUAUUGCCCACCAUCUGUGACUCCUUUUACCGAGACAAAUCCCCCUAGUUGCCAUAUAUCUCACCAACACCUCGCUAUCUCCCCAUUGAACUUUUCAAGAUCAAAUAUGGUGGUAGCCGUUGUAGAUCCAAGAUCAGCUAAAUACCUAUCUCUGAUACCAGUUUGUUAAGUUCUGAACAAAAGAAAGUCUUUCCAAGAUUGAAUCAAACCAAGAAAAUAGAAACUUAUAUAAACCAGAACAACGAGCAAACAAGAGAUUAAAAGAAAAGGAAAGAAAAAUAACAAGAUCAUAUAACGUGGUUCAGCAACAAGAUGCCUACAUCCACAGUUGAAAUCAGGUCUGCUUUGAAACUUUAUUAGAAAGAUAUGAGUUAUAGAAGAUUAUUGAGAUUACAGAGAUUAAAUCUUCUCUAUUGAGAUUUUUUCUCCCUCUCUCACAAAGACUAUCAUAUCAUCACUCUCUUGACCACAGUCUGCACGCUGCAAUUCCUCUUAUAUAUCUCUUAAAGAGUAAAAGCAUGAGUUGUCAUACAUAAUAACGACUUUAACAGCAGAUGGUCCCACUAAUGCCAGCUCAGCACGCCACCUUAUUCACUCUUAAAAUAAUAUAACUACGCCAGGCCUCACAGAUUUUUAAUUAAAAAAAGCAUAAAAAUGACAGUUGAAAAAUCGAUCUAAAAUGGUAAGACAUGGGAAGUUUUCCGGAUAUUAAAAUAUGAAGAAUUUUCUCAUGAAGGGCCUUGCACUUCGAUCUUUUGCUGCCUCUUAACAUGUUGUGAACAGAGAGUGCUUCUGAGUGUCGCUCCCAUUUUACCAAGAUGAAAAAUUAGGGAGGAGCAGAGUUCCCGCAAAACAGCAUAGCUGUGAUAAGUCUUUCGCGUUGCAAUCCCGUAGUAAAAGUUCAUUUGUCUAUGACCACUUUCAUACCUCCUCCGGCUGGUGGCCUUUACUCAGGGGUGGCUUUAGGUAUAGGCGAACAAAGCGGUCGCCUAAGGUCCCAUAUUUUGUGAAGGCCAUAUUUUUUAAAUUUUUUUGAUAAUUCUCAUUUUUUUAAGUUACGUAUUUUAGGAAAUCAAAAAGCUUAUUAAUAUCUCUCUAAUUAUUAAUUAUCCUACAGUUAAGAAUUAAUUUUUUAUGAAAAAUCUAUAUUUGAUAACAUUAAUGUUAAAUAGAUAUAACUAAUAAUAUUAUUUAAUCAUUAAUUCAUUCAUUAUUAGUCUUUCAAAAAUAAAUUAAUUAAUUAUCUUUUCAAUUUCCUCAAAAAAAUUAAUUAUUUAAUGUUAGAAUAUUUGACUUUUAGUAUUUCUUUUAAUUUCCAUUAAAAACUUUGUAAUCUCAAAAAUCAGUAAAUAAAAAUUUUUUUUCCUCACUUCUCUAAAAAGAAAAAUAUUAUAUUCAUUGGUUCAUUUAAAAAAAUCAAUUUAUAGAAAUACAAAGUCCAUUUCUAUUAUCUGAUCAUUAAUUUAUCAUCUCAACUUUUUAUAUUCUAUCAUUCUAAAUAUCCUAUUUGAAAAUAAUAUUAUUUGUAUUUAUUUGAUUGUUUAUUUUGUAAUAAUUUUAAUGGAAUAAAAAAUGUCUUCUUAACUUUUUUUUUAGGUUUUAUUUUUAAAAUUCAAGAAUUACAAAUGAAAUAAAUUUUGAGCUUUUUUUUUUAUUUCUUUGAGUAUUGAAAUUGCAAAACAAAUAGAGGCCUCAUAAAAAAAUUUCGCCUAAGGCCCCAAACACUCUAAAGCCGGCCCUGCCUUUACUAUGCAUGUCCAUCAUAGUCCGAUAAGCAAGCAUAUAAAAUUUUAAUCCGGACUAAUUCGUCCAAUUUCCUCAUAACAUGCAUUACGCUCUCCAUAGCACCUGCUCUGCAGUAGGCAUAAAGCAUGCAAUUUAAAUCACAUUUGUCAUGCUUGACUUCAAAAUACCCAGCCAAUUUGCCUCUUCAACAUCAACCGGACCACCACGUCCUAGUUCUUCCGGUUCCCUCAAUCAACAUCAACCGUUGAUUGUACGAUGCUUUAAAUCCUAUGGUUAUUAUUUUUUUCCAUAUUUUUAAUUUCAUGGGGUUUAUCAAUGGAACUGGUGCGUAGUAGUCGUAGCCUUAAUUAAUUUAGAAUACUUUUGAGUUGCGUUAACAGGCAGCAGUCACAAUCAACUUCAUCGCUUUGUAAAUUUCCAUUACCACAGAGUCAACAGUCAGGCUCAUGAAAAGAAAUUAUUUGUAUUUUUCUUAUUAGCAUAAAAUAAAUAAUGAAAUAAAAAUAAAGAUUUUAAUAUUUGAAUUUUGAUUUAAGUCCUAACUUAUGUGUAGCUAGAGGCGAAGUUUUGAGAGGACUAGAAAGAUUGAACCCAAGUCUCUACCCUCAUAUUUUAUAAACACAGACGACAUUGUUGGAUAUUUGUUUCUAGAAAUGAAUAUGAUAAUAGAAGAUAAUUAAAAUGGACUAAUCCAACAAUUAGGCGCUCCUUCUUUAAGCUAACCCAAUAAUUUGGAACUCAUUUUUUUGUUAUAUUUACUUUUUUAUCCUUGUAACUUUUUUCUUUAAAUGCCACAGCUCUAAUUUCUAUCCUCAUUUAAUUUAAAUGGGUACGAUUUGUCAAAUGCGAUUUAAAUGGGUGGUGCAUGUAUACUGAAAGUAGCCCUUGUGCUUAGCAUGCUAUGAACCAUGCUUGAAUAAUCGAGUAUAACUGCAUCCAUCCUCAUCUUGUAGGAAUUGGAAUGAUCCUGACUUAAGAAUAUGCAUAUACUGACGACUUUUAUUCUCAAUAAAAGCAACAUAUAUAAAUAUCAUUUUCUUUUCAUUUAUAGACCUCGAUGAAUGGGGGAGUUUAUUAUAUUAUAGAAAAGCGAUCCCCCAAUAGAAAGAAAAGUCUGGCCAACAUCAACUGAAACUGCACUCUGGGAAUUCAUCAGCCUUUGGUGCUGUGAAAGCCAUGUGUUUGUCCUCCAAGGGCAUGGGCUGAAAAAGCCAUGUAGAAGCUACAUCCAUAGUCUCUUGGUUUUGAGCACCGUGCCCAUCUCCGUGUAGAUACAUAAAAUGGGACAUUCUCACAAGAUUCAACAUGAAGUCAACUGUAUUUUGAGAUAAGGGAGAAUCUUUAUCAGCUCUGUAUGCAUUCACCUUCUUCCACAUCUGUCUCAUCAUAUCCUUGAUGUGUUCACGAGCAACUUCCUCCGAGGCACCAGUUUCAUGCAUGUAACACUGGAUUGAUUUCGGAACAUCCCCUCUCUGUAUCUCAUCCUGAUGAAUUAUUGGGGAAAACAAUUACACAAUCAAUUCGUGUAUAGAGGAUUAAUUCAAUUUCUAUCUUCUUAAGAAUCAAAAGAAAAUAAAAGAAAACAUACCGACGAAGUUCCCAAAUCAUCUUGAAGACGAAAAAUCUUGCAUGACCAGCGAACGAAAUCUGGAUUGCUUUCUAGAAAUUCUAGUUCCUUCUGAAUGAUUGGAUUUGUACCAGAAAGGUACGCACUCAUUGUUACUAUAGGGCCUGCUAUUGACACCAAUCCAUUUUCCAAGAAUUCUCCCAGUGUUGGUGUGUACUUACUAUGGUACCAUUUCGCCUCCACUAAGCCGGCUUGUAUUAAGCCAAGCCACUGAUGCACAUGAAAUAGAAAAUAAAGCUAGUUACAAUUUAUUAUUUUUGAGACAAAAACAUCGUAAUUUAAAAAGGAUAAAUCAAAGGAACGGAACGGCGGGAGAGGCAAAAUUAACAUUUUACAUACUGAAUUUUUAAUACUCCGAAGCAUAUCAAAAUCCUGUUGUUUGAGUACGUAAUAAGCAAAUUCAUUAACAAAGUUGUAAAGCGCAAAAAACCACAAUUUCAUGUAGUCCGGAAGGUGGUUCAAAGCAUAAUGGAUGUCCCACCUGUAGAAAAGAGAAAAAAAAUAUUAUAAAUGGUCUACUAAUUUGAGUCUUGAGAAGUAGCAGGCACCUAGCUUGCAAUUGAAUCAAUCGAUUAAAUAUAACAUUAGUUUGCCAACAAACCUCUCAACAGCAGCAGUGAAUAGCUCAAGUUCGUCCAAAGUUCCAUAAACAUCAUAAAUGUCAUCAAUCACUGUAAUUAGAGCUAUUGCAAUUGUGACUGUUUGGGAGAAAUACGUCGACGAGACCAGGCAUGGUGAGCAGAUAUCUGAUGGCAGAGUUCUGCGAACCGGUGUGUUCCGUAAAAGCCUGGUGCGCGGGGGAACAGGAGCAAAAAUAUCCUGCUCGUCCACGAGCACGUCAUCCGCGAGGCAAAUUUCCUGUAAGAGGCAUAAGGCCAUUCCGGCUAGAGGUCGAGAGGCGAGGAGACCCGGUCGACGGCAGUAGGCAAGGCAUGCUCUCCAGCCCGAGAAUCUAGGCACGACAGCCACGCUUUCCCCAGAACCGUGGCGUAACACGCAAGAUCCCACGUUUGCCCAUAACGCAGCAGUCGGAGUCCCAUACCGUCCCCCAAAAAAGCGGAAACAAGAUCUCACAAAACCACGACAGCCACGCUUUCCCCAGAACCGUGGCGUAACACGCAAGAUCCCACGUUUGCCCAUAACGCGGCAGUCAGAGUCCCGUACCGUCUCGAAGAAAGCAGAAAACUGGGAUUCAAAGGAAGCCUAUAAAAAGGUAGCCAACGAAGGUAAAUGGGUUAGCAUUUUUGAGAUUAGAAAAGAAAUUCUAAAAGAGAGAAAACAACCUAACAACCAUAAGAUUUGUGGCAAGUGUUCCCCGAACCUUCAUAUCUGACUUGAGCGUCGGAGGGUUUGCGCCGGGAAAACAACCGGCGUACUCUGACCUGUCUGUGUGCGCAGGAACCUCUGGAGAAGAAGCCUUGCGAGGAGACCCCCUGGUCGUGAUGAAGUUGAUCGAGCAGAGAUCCUGGUCGUAGAACGAGGAGAACCGGAAUCUCGCAUCAACAUUUUGGCGCCGUCUGUGGGGACCAGAGCAAAAAGCUUCUGUUGAUAGCAAGAAGAGGGGUGAAGCAAGUGAAAAGCAAUGGAGACAGGAGGAAGUAGUGCACAAGGGGGUGAUAGGAGGCUUAACGAUUCCGUGACGCUGAGGGAGAUAGUCAGUGAAGCACGGGGAAAAGUCAUGUUCGACCGGAUGGAACGGAUGGAAAAGCAAAUGGAGACCUUGACAACCAUCCUGCAUGAGCUGCGGAGCGAGCGAAGGGUAACCCAAGAGGGAAGGGUGAGAGGCGGUGGAGUGGCACCAGGUCCCGAUAGUGCGGGGAGAAGUCAAACCACUGGGAGAUUUGGUGGUGAGAGAGGUAACGUACCUCUGCGGGGACAAUUUCAUAGAGAAAGAGAGCAGUCCCCGGCAAGACAGACUGGUGACGAGGACGACGGGGUGGUGAAUGCAGAGGAAACAGAGUUGAGGCAACACUUGCAUGAUGUAGAGCAAGAGUGGGAUCAAGUUGCAGCACGUGACCCUGGUCGUGCAGUGCAGCUGGAGGAGGAAGUGCGCAGACUAGCGCAGAUAAUUGACGACAUGCAAGGAAGGAACAGAGCCCCUGGUUGGAGGAUAAUGCUGGACGGAGAAUCACCGCUCGCAGCAGAGAUCAUGAGGGCAGUUAUUCCGAGAGAUUUCCGCCUCCCAGACCUCAGAUACUCGGGAAGAACUGAUCCGCUGGUGCACAUAGAGCGCUUCAACGACAUAACUGGGGUACAAGGAUUAUCUCAAUCCCAAAGGUGCAGGGUGUUCCCACUAUCCCUUGAGGGACGUGCACGAGAAUGGUACAGGAAACUCCCUCGGGGCAGCAUUAAAACCUUCGAGCAGAUGUGCCAGGAGUUCGCGGAGCAGUUUAGUGGGGCAAUGGCACCGGAAGAUGACAUGAUGGAGCUGAAAAGCAUGAGACAGGGGGAGCAAGAAACCCUUCGGGAAUUCAUCGAGAGGUUUCAUCGGACUGUCCUCGACUUGGGAGCCUUCAACCACCCUCAGGCGUUAAGGGGAUUGAAAGAAGGGGUGAAGAUAGGAAGGCUGUGGUACAAUUUGAGAAGCCCAGCUAUUCAAACGUAUGCAGCCGCAUACGAACAGGCUAAGAGAGACAUCGAGAUUGAAGAGGAGAAGGCUGCACGGAUUAAGAUAGACCAGUUAGAAGGGUUGGGGAGGAAAGAGAAGAAAGCAUUACCGGGGAAUGGGCUGAUCAGGAGAAGGGACCACCAUGCCUCCGGUAGUGGAGCAGGAGGUCGGGUAACCGCUUACCAGCCUCAUCAGAGGCCACCACAGUAUCAGCGCAGCAGGGCGCAACCUCCUCGUUCCCCAGCUAGGGAGCCUUGGAGAAGGCAUGAGUCGGCAUCUGGUGGUCUUCAUCAACAUCCCCACGGUAGCAGAGCGAGCAGACCAGAAAUACUUCCACCGCCCCCAACUCAGAGCGGGGCAAACAGAGAAAGAGCAGUGCACCUGAUCGACCAGAACCCGGACUAUGGGCGGUACACUUCCUUGAAGAUGUCCCUGGAUGAGGUGUACGAGGCCAUAAAGGAUCGAGGGCUGCUGCACCUCCCUACACCAAUAACAAAGCUACCCAACAGGAGGGAUAGAGGACGUUAUUGUAAGUUCCAUGGCACCCAUGGCCAUACCACAGCAGAGUGUAGAGAUCUCAAGACCCAGGUCGAAGAUUUGGUGAGAAAUCGGUACCUGGACGAGUUUAUGGAUGGGACUUUCCCGAUGGUGGCCACAACAGGUGAAGGGGAGCAGAGUGGUAGAAACUUGAGGCGCGAGCAGCCCGCAGUGAGGGUGAUAGCUGGGGGCCCAACAUUGGCCGGAGAUUCCAACAGAUCGAGAAAAAAUUAUGCUAGGUACGCCAUGACCAGUAAGAGGUACUCUUCAACACCCCAGCAGCCAAACGAGCAAGGGUCAGGCAAGUGCCAAUCAUGUGGACGGAUGAGGAUGAGGAAGGGAUUCUAUACCCCCACGAGGAUGCUUUGGUCAUCAAGGCUAUUGUCGCUAGCAAGAAGUUUGACCGGAUACUGAUUGAUACAGGGAGCUCAAUUGAUGUGUUAUUUAAGUCAACCCUGGAAGAGAUGGGAAUAGCCGACCGGAAGUUGGAAUACACCAAUACCUCCUUGAAGGGGUUCGGAGGAGGGAAGCUGGUCCCUCUGGGCGUGGUCGAGCUGCCUAUCACAAUUGGGAGCUCCCCGACAGAAAGAACAAUGGUACUGGACUUUGUCGUAGUGGAUGAGGAAGGUCCUUACCAGAUGAUCCUAGGUCGGCCAUUUUUAAGGAUGAGCAAAGCGGUGUUGUCCAACCAUUAUCUAGCUCUGAAGUACCGGGUGAAUGGGGUAGUAGGAGUGGUACGAGGAGACCAGAGGAUCGCAAGAAGCUGCUACUCCUCGGCAGCAAGGGAAGCAAUGCAGAUAACAUCCCUCGAUACCCGAGUGGAAAACAAAAAGGGCAGACAAGAACCUGUAGAGGAUCUGGAAACGGUAAGCCUGGGACCAGAGAACCCGGGAAAGACGAUCAGAAUCGGGUCGAGACUUAAGGGAGAGCAAAAGCAGGAGUUGGUAAAAUGCUUAGAGGCUCAUGCUGAUGUGUUUGCUUGGACACAUGAAGACAUGCCAGGGAUUGACCCUGAGGUAGCAUGUCAUAAGCUGGCAAUAAAGAAAGGUGCUCGGGCAGUAAGGCAGAAGAGGAGGUGCUUCAAUCAGGAGAGGUAUGAGGCUAUAAAUGGCGAGGUGGAGAAGCUCUUGAGAGCAGGGUUCAUUCGGGAAGUCAGUUACCCUGAGUGGAUAUCGAAUGUGGUGUUGGUAAAGAAGGCAAACGGCAAGUGGAGGAUGUGUGUGGAUUUCACAGACCUCAAUAAGGCGUGCCCAAAAGACAGCUUCCCUUUACCAAAGAUCGAUCAGCUAGUAGAUUCAACGGCUGGACAUGGUCUGCUUAGCUUCAUGGACGCGUUCUCGAGAUACAACCAGAUCCCCAUGUACGAGCAGGAUGAGGAGAGCACGGCUUUCAUCACUAACCAAGGUCUGUUCUGUUACAGGGUUAUGCCAUUCGGUCUCAAAAAUGCUGGGGCCACCUAUCAAAGGCUGGUGAACAAAGUCUUUAAGCCAUUGAUUGGGAAAACCAUGGAGGUGUACGUGGAUGACAUGAUCACCAAGUCCAAAAUCCCAAAGGAACACGUCAGACACCUCGAGGAGACAUUCGAGCUUUUGAGGAAGUAUAAGAUGAAGCUCAACCCGGAGAAGUGUGCUUUUGGGGUGGAGUCAGGGAAAUUCCUUGGAUUCAUGGUGAGCCAUAGGGGGAUUGAAGCAAAUCCCGAGAAAAUCCAGGCGAUUGUGCAAAUGACGUCUCCUCGUAACCUGAAGGAGAUGCAGAGCCUCACGGGGAGGUUGGCGGCGUUGAGCAGAUUCGUAUCCAAGGCUACAGAUAAGUGUCAGCCAUUCUUUCAAGUGAUAAGGAGGGGAAAGAAAACGGAAUGGACCCCAGAAUGUGAGGAGGCCUUCCGGAACUUGAAGCGAUACUUGCAGCAAGCUCCGCUGCUGUCCACACCGAGGGAGGGGGACAAGUUAUAUCUGUAUUUGGCGAUAUCGGAUCGGGCCGCCAGUUCUGUUCUGGUGAGAGAGGAAGAAGGAGUUCAGUAUCCGAUAUACUACACCAGCAAGUCCCUGCUCGACGCUGAGACCAGAAUCCCAAUCCUCGAAGAAUCAAAGGCAUGCAAAGGCUCGACAAAGUCUCAAAGCCUGUCUUAUGGCGAGACAGAAGCCAAGCAUGCCAGGAUCUGCUCGACCACGAGAAGGCGAGCAGACUCCAAAGCAUUCGAAGAAAUUCCUGAGGCAUGCAAAGGCUCACCAAGUCUCAAAGCCUGUCUUAUGACGAGACAGAAGCCAAGCAUGCCAGGAUCUGCUCGACCACAAGAAGGCGAGCAGACUCCAAAGUAUUCGAAGAAAUUCCUGAGGCAUGCAAAGGCUCACCAAGUCUCACAGCCUGUUUUAUGGCGAGACAGAUGCCAAGCGUGCCAGGAUCUGCUCGACCGCGCGAAGGCGAGCCGAAUCCCAGGCAUUGAAGAAUCUUCAAAGGCGUGUGGCAAAACCAUGAGCAAAGUCGGAACCUGCUCGUCUAGACAAAGACAAGCAGAUUCUCAAACGAAAAUCAGCUCAUAAUUACAACACAAGAAACAUUUUACAGCGCCGAAUCCCGAGGGUCUCAUAACCGUCGGUUUGAAAUUCAAAUGGAGGGGGGGAUUUCUGCCACGUCACCUCGUCCGCAAUUAAAUGCGACGUGAUUCUUGGCAGCCUUUUCCAAUCCCACGCGAGCGAGUACUAACGAGUUUCUACUGCUGGUCCACUACAUUACCCAACACCAGAAACUGGGGGACCGGUGUUUGGGAGAAAUACGUCGACGAGACCAAGCAUGGUGAGUAGAUAUCUGAUGGCAGAGUUCUGCGAACCGGUGUGUUCCGUAAAAGCCUGGUGCGCGGGGGAACAGGAGCAGAAAUAUCCUGCUCGUCUAUGAGCACGUCAUCCGCGAGGCAAAUUUCCUGUAAGAGGCAUAAGGCCAUUCCGGCUAGAAGUCGAGAGGCGAGGAGACCCGGUCGACGGCAGUUGGCAAGGCAUGCUCUCCAGCCCGAGAAUCUAGGCACGACAGCCACGCUUUCCCCAGAACCGUGGCGUAACACGCAAGAUCCCACGUUUGCCCAUAAUUAUAACCAGAAGGUGAACAUACGGCAAUUCAGGGUCGGAGACUGGGUACUGAGAAGAGUGAAUCAGAGCACCAAAGAUUCGACUCAAGGAGUUCUGGGACCGAAUUGGGAAGGGCCAUAUAGAGUCAAGCAGAUAGCGGGACCCGGAGCUUACAAGCUGGUUCGCACGGACGGCCACGAGGUGAAACGCCCAUGGAACGCAUCACACCUCCGAAAAUACUUCCAGUAAGACUUGUUCACAUUUGAAAGCUAUUUUUGCUCAUGCUCAUUAUCGUUUAUCUUUCACGCUUUAUGUCCAAACAAUUUCAUGUAAGUCGAAUCCUGCCAUUAAUGGAACGUCGAGGAAUUUCUUUCGCUUGAAACCGAGAAAAUUCCCAAGGCAUGCAAAGGCUCAUCAAAGUCUCAAAGCCUGUCUUAUGGCGAGACAGAAGCCAAGCAUGCCGGGACCUGCUCGGCCACGAGAAGGCGAGCAGAAUCCCAAUCCUCGAAGAAUCAAAGGCAUGCAAAGGCUCGACAAAGUCUCAAAGCCUGUCUUAUGGCGAGACAGAAGCCAAGCAUGCCAGGAUCUGCUCGACCACGAGAAGGCGAGCAGACUCCAAAGCAUUCGAAGAAAUUCCUGAGGCAUGCAAAGGCUCACCAAGUCUCAAAGCCUGUCUUAUGGCGAGACAGAAGCCAAGCAUGCCGGGAUCUGCUCGGCCACGAGAAGGCGAGCAGAAUCCCAAUCCUUGAAGAAUCAAAGGCAUGCAAAGGCUCAUCAAAGUCUCAAAGCCUGUCUUAUGGCGAGACAGAAGCCAAGCAUGCCAGGAUCUGCUCGACCACGAGAAGGCAAGCAGACUCCAAAGCAUUCGAAGAAAUUCCCAAGGCAUGCAGAGGCUCAUCCAAGUCUCAAAGCCUGUCUUAUGGCGAGACAGAAGCCAAGCAUGCCAGGAUCUGCUCGGCCACGAGAAGGCGAGCAGCAUCCCAAUCCUUGAAGAAUCAAAGGCAUGCAAAGGCUCAUCAAAGUCUCAAAGCCUGUCUUAUGGCGAGACAGAAGCCAAGCAUGCCAGGAUCUGCUCGGCCACGAGAAGGCGAGCAGCAUCCCAAUCCUUGAAGAAUCAAAGGCAUGCAAAGGCUCAUCAAAGUCUCAAAGCCUGUCUUAUGGCGAGACAGAAGCCAAGCAUGCCAGGAUCUGCUCGGCCACAAGAAGGCGAGCAGCAUCCCAAUCCUUGAAGAAUCAAAGGCAUGCAAAGGCUCGACAAAGUCUCAAAGCCUGUCUUAUGGCGAGACAGAAGCCAAGCAUGCCAGGAUCUGCUCGACCACGAGAAGGCGAGCAGACUCCAAAGCAUUCGAAGAAAUUCCCAAGGCAUGCAAAGGCUCGACAAAGUCUCAAAGCCUGUCUUAUGGCGAGACAGAAGCCAAGCAUGCCGGGAUCUGCUCGGCCACGAGAAGGCGAGCAGAAUUCCAAUCCUCGAAGAAUCAAAGGCAUGCAAAGGCUCGACAAAGUCUCAAAGCCUGUCUUAUGGCGAGACAGAAGCCAAGCAUGCCAGGAUCUGCUCGACCACGAGAAGGCGAGCAGACUCCAAAGCAUUCGAAGAAAUUCCCAAGGCAUGCAAAGGCUCAUCCAAGUCUCAAAGCCUGUCUUAUGGCGAGACAGAAGCCAAGCAUGCCAGGAUCUGCUCGGCCACGAGAAGGCGAGCAGCAUCCCAAUCCUUGAAGAAUCAAAGGCAUGCAAAGGCUCAUCAAAGUCUCAAAGCCUGUCUUAUGGCGAGACAGAAGCCAAGCAUGCCAGGAUCUGCUCGGCCACGAGAAGGCGAGCAGCAUCCCAAUCCUUGAAGAAUCAAAGGCAUGCAAAGGUUCGACAAAGUCUCAAAGCCUGUCUUAUGGCGAGACAGAAGCCAAACAUGCCAGGAUCUGCUCGACCACGAGAAGGCGAGCAGACUCCAAAGCAUUCGAAGAAAUUCCCAAGGCAUGCAAAGGCUCGACAAAGUCUCAAAGCCUGUCUUAUGGCGAGACAGAAGCCAUGCAUGCCGGGAUCUGCUCGGCCACGAGAAGGUGAGCAGAAUCCCAUUCCUCGAAGAAUCAAAGGCAUGCAAAGGCUCGACAAAGUCUCGAAGCCUGUCUUAUGGCGAGACAGAAGCCAAGCAUGCCAGGAUCUGCUCGACCACGAGAAGGGGAGCAGACUCCAAAGCAUUCGAAGAAAUUCCUGAGGCAUGCAAAGGCUCACCAAGUCUCAAAGCCUGUCUUAUGACGAGACAGAAGCCAAGCAUGCCAGGAUCUGCUCGACCACGAGAAGGCGAGCAGACUCCAAAGCAUUCGAAGAAAUUCCUGAGGCAUGCAAAGGCUCACCAAGUCUCACAGCUUGUUUUAUGGCGAGACAGAUGCCAAGUGUGCCAGGAUCUGCUCGACCGCGCGAAGGCGAGCCGAAUCCCAGGCAUUGAAGAAUCUUCAAAGGCGUGUGGCAAAACCAUGAGCAAAGCCGGAACCUGCUCGUCUAGACAAAGACAAGCAGAUUCUCAAACGAAAAUCAGCUCAUAAUUACAACACAAGAAACAUUUUACAGCGCCGAAUCCCGAGGGUCUCAUAACCGUCGGUUUGAAAUUCAAAUGGAGGGGGGGAUUUCUGCCACGUCACCUCGUCCGCAAUUAAAUGCGACGUGAUUCUUGGCAGCCUUUUCCAAUCCCACGCGAGCGAGUACUAACGAGUUUCUACUGCUGGUCCACUACAUUACCCAACACCAGAAACUGGGGGACCGGUGUUUGGGAGAAAUACGUCGACGAGACCAGGCAUGGUGAGCAGAUAUCUGAUGGCAGAGUUCUGCGAACCGGUGUGUUCCGUAAAAGCCUGGUGCGAGGGGGAACAGGAGCAAAAAUAUCCUGCUCGUCCACGAGCACGUCAUCCGCGAGGCAAAUUUCCUGUAAGAGGCAUAAGGCCAUUCCGGCUAGAGGUCGAGAGGCGAGGAGACCCGGUCGACGGCAGUUGGCAAGGCAUGCUCUCCAGCCCGAGAAUCUAGGCACGACAGCCACGCUUUCCCCAGAACCGUGGCGUAACACGCAAGAUCCCACGUUUGCCCAUAACGCAGCAUAACGCAGCAGUCGGAGUCCCAUACCGUCCCCCAAAAAAGCGGAAACAAGAUCUCACAAAACCACGACAGCCACGCUUUCCCCAGAACCGUGGCGUAACACGCAAGAUCCCACGUUUGCCCAUAACGCGGCAGUCAGAGUCCCGUACCGUCUCGAAGAAAGCGGAAAACUGGGAUUCAAAGGAAGCCUAUAAAAAGGUAGCCAACGAAGGUAAAUGGGUUAGCAUUUUUGAGAUUAGAAAAGAAAUUCUAAAAGAGAGAAAACAACCUAACAUCCAUAAGAUUUGUGGCAAGUGUUCCCCGAACCUUCAUAUCUGACUUGAGCGUCGGAGGGUUUGCGCCGGGAAAACAACCGGCGUACUCUGACCUGUCUGUGUGCGCAGGAACCUCUGGAGAAGAAGCCUUGCGAGGAGACCCCCUGGUCGUGAUGAAGUUGAUCGAGCAGAGAUCCUGGUCGUAGAACGAGGAGAACCGGAAUCUCGCAUCAACACUUCUGUAAAAGGCGGAGUUUGCACCUAAGAAUAAUUUAAUAUACAUGUGAUUAAAUUGUACAAGUUAUGUAAAUUAUAAAAUCAAAUCUUUGAUGUGUGUGUGUGUGUGUGUGUCUGUCUAUAUAUAUAUGAGUUAUGCAAUCAAAUGGAUACCCUGAAAUGUCUUUAAGUUCUUCCUGGUAAAUUGCCUGCAAAGUGUUAAACUCCAACUUAGCGAGCUCAAGUAAAAGGUGGUUCUUGUCCUCUCUUUUCUCAUAAACGUGUAUGAACCACCUUGCCUCCAACAUUGGGACUUUCCAAUGCAGAGGGAGCUCCACUGCACGCUUCGCUUGUUCUGCGACAAAUACAUGCUCUUCCUGAUCAUCACGUCUUUAAGAUGUUUACUGGUAAAUUGCCAGGCCUCCUCCAUGAUGCUUUCUCCUUCUAAGCUGUAAUACGAGGCUUUGUGCAAGCUCAGUAUUCCCUUGAAAUCAUCACAAAUGAAGCCUCCCUGGUCGUCUUUUAAACCAUUGAAAACCUCUGCAGCACUCAACCAAGAAACGUUACAUUCGUCAAAAUUUUUGAUACAUCUAUUAAUUAGAGAGAUAGAGAAAAAAAACUGAUUUGGGUUUCGCCCAUUUCUUUACAUUUAAAAAAAAAAGAAAAAAAAACAGAGAGAUCGAUUCAAGUAUUCAGAUCAUGCAUGUGCAUGAUCUGAAGGAAGCGAAUUAAUGAAAUAUACCUUGAGAAACAGGAUAGCCAUGUUGUCUAAGUAGUCUGAAUUCAAGGGAGGUUACAUACAGAUUUUCUUUUCUCCAAUUAUAAUCUUUAUUAUUGUUGUAGAUAUUAUUCAAUAUGUUCCUAAUCUCAGUCUCAAAACGAUAAGCCAAUCCAAGUCUUUGCAAGUUAUCAAUCAGCUCCAACUGAUCCAGAGGCUCGAUUACAUCUUUAAUCGCUAUCUUCACUUUUCCCUUCAGCUCUUCUGCUCGUCUUUUGCAUGCUUCAUCCUGUACACGCACAGCAUUUAGUUUUUAGUUAUUCAUGGUCCCAAUUUGAAAUGAACAAAGGAAAUUAAUACGUAAUAGUAAUAAUCAAUACCGUAUACUUGCUAUUCAGCCACUGCAAAAAAUCAUGGUCCCAAAUUGAAGGUUGGUAGUUUGCUGAUCUCCUAUCAACUGUCAAAUUAUCAUAUUUGGCGCUGACAAGGCAUUGGACUGGCUUAUUUUUGGCCAUGAUUCUGAUGGCUGCUUUAUUUGUUGUAAGAGGAAGACAUUUGAAACCAUUUACAGAGGUAACCAAGGUUGAGGGAUUAAUGCAAGAAGACAUUGGAUAUACAGAUGUUGUGUAAGCUAGCUUACUGUCAAAUUAUAUAUAUAUAUAGGCAGAGGAGAAGUUCAAGUGAUUUAUUUUUCGUGCUCAUUUUUUCUGAGUUUUGAAAGCGUUUAAUUUUUAAGUCUUAAUAGUACAAAGGUAUUUUAUUCAUUUGGGGGAAAAAAAAAGGAGUACAUCAUACUGUGCGAACGAGGUCAUUAUUGUACCAGAAGACACAUACAUCAUCCAUAUAUUCGGAUGAAUGUUGUAUAAUCUUUAUUUAUUUAUCUUUUUUUUUUCCUGCAUACAAAUUUUUUAAAGAGUCUUUCAAUAAACUACACAAUAAAUGCACGCAGAAAUGACAAGAAAUUCAUAAAUUCAAUUCUACUAAUAAAAGUUCUAUUUAUUACAUUAAAAUCUUGUUUUAUGUAGAAAUAAGAAUAUACAAAGUAAAUUUAAGGGAAAAAAAAGGCAUACAAAGUUGCAAACAAUAUCUUAAUGUUGAGCACUAACAUCAAAAUUCUAUCUGUUACAGUUAUAAAGUACUUUUGCGGAAAACAAAUUAAUAAAUUUCAAAGUGAUUAUCAACAAAAAGUUGAUUGGAGAUAAUGGAUUUUAAUAUAUUGUAGAUUGUGAUCAUUUGUAAUAAUUUCAAAAAACUUCCAUUUAACAGCGGUUGGUGAAUGGGUGUUGUAAAAUAAUUUUAAUAUUUGACAACAAGCGAAAGAAUGUUGUUAAAAACUCUUCAAUAGAUGUUCAAUCUCACAACGUUCUACAAAAGCGCGUUGUGAAAAAAUUCUAAUAAUUGACAACUAGUGUAAAAUCGUUAUAAAUUUUUAAUCCCAUUCAAUCCAUGAAUUAGUAAAAUUAAUCUAAAUUCAAUUCAUAAUUCUGCAGAUUAGAAGUGGAUUUGAUACAAUCCAUAUUCAUUCCACUUUUGCGAAUUCGAUACGGAUUUAAAAAAAAAUUCUUUCUAUUCAAUUCAUAAAAUAAUUAAAUAAAAAUUUUAAUUAUAAAAAUAAUUUUACUGCAUGCCAAUCAAAUUCAAAUUUAAACAAGAUCUAAAUAAAUCAAUAGUUUAAAUACGGGUUUAGGAAUGCUAUGUUAAUAGGGUCUUUAUACCGCCACCCCAACAUCUAUUAAAUCAAUCAACAUACGUUUUGAAACAAAUAUAAUCCGGAAGCCAUAUACCAUUUCAGCUUUACUCCCUAUUCUCUCUUAAAUAAAACUAUGAAAACACUGGAGUAAUUGGUUUCAGCUUCGGUGUAGGAUAGGUUGGAGGUGAUGACACGCGACGACAGCUACUGAAAGACUAUUCGUUUUUUAAGAUGCCAUUCAAAGUUUCGAACUUUAGCACACCAAAAUAAAAAAUCCUGAUGUUUCUGGAUCAGUGGAUGAAAAUCAACUUAAGUUUUAGAAUUAAAUCAAUACAAAAGUUGAAAUUUGAAAGCUUAUAUAAUUAAUUGUUGUCAACGUCCACCCUAACUAGAUUUUAACCUAUUUACUAGUAGUAUAACAUUUUUAAAUUUUAAAUUCUUUAAAUUAUAUACACACACGGAUUUGCUGAUUUUCAGGGAUUUGGAGAAGCAAGUCCAUUUCAUCAAUUGUCGAUUUUAAAAUUUUUCAAUCCAUCUAAUCUGUCAAUUCAGCUCUUCUGCUCGUCUUUUGUAUGUUUCAUCCUGUACACGCACAGCAUUUUGUUUUUAGCUAUUCAUGGUGCCAAUUUGAAAUGAACAAAGGAAAUUAAUAUGUAAUAAUAAUAAUAUUGAAUACCGUAUAGUUGCUAUUCAAUGACUGCAAAAAAUCAUGGUCCCAAAUUGAAGGUUGGUAGUUUGCUGAUCUCCUAUCAACUGUCAAAUUAUCAUAUUUGGCGCUGACAAGGCAUUGGACCGGCUUAUUUUUUGCCAUGAUUCUGAUGGCUGCUUUAUUUGUUGCAAGAGGAAGACAUUUGAAACCAUUUACAGAGGUAACCAAGGUUAAGGGAUUAAUGGAAGAAGACAUUGGAUAUACAGAUGUAGUGUAAGCUAGCUUACAGUUAUACUUGGCAAAGAUUCUCAAAUUAUUCUAUGGUUUGUG
This 46807-nucleotide long non-coding RNA is filed under the name Citrus x clementina. Its description in RNAcentral is "Citrus clementina (C. clementina) long non-coding RNA (CCLE_LNC002459)". The record is from RNAcentral. Lineage: Eukaryota; Viridiplantae; Streptophyta; Magnoliopsida; Sapindales; Rutaceae.